CUGGUCGUGUUAAAAAAAGAUACAUGCUGCUGGUCGCACCAGAUCAAAUAUCUCGCAAACUGACGGUUCAAUGUAACAGUAUGAAUGGAAAACUCUGGACUAUACUGGCCACCGUUGUACCCGAAGCACCCAGACAUGGAAAAAAAUCCCCUUUCUCUUACUGCUCUUUGGAUCGAGGUCUGGCCGAGGCAGGGAUGGCGCAAAGCUUCUGGCCGCGGAUCUAGCGCUGCUCACCUUCCCAUGAUGCGGCAUCUCAUCUCUGCUGAACUGGAGAGGCAGAUGUCAGGUCAGAGAGCUGGGUCGUCGCGUUUGACGACCAUCUCCUCCACAGUUUUCCUCGUCGAUCUCGUAUUCUCCAAUCACCCGGGUCUGGCUUUAGCAUGUCUGUUAAUUUUCGCCAUUUUACUUUCAUUUUUAAAUUGCCAAUAAUAUAUUUUUCUUUUUCAUACGGGAUGUGAUAUAUUUCAAUUAUUGGAUCUGCGACACAGGAUAGAGGUCAGCAUGCCUGGUAUGGUCGAUGCGCCACAUCUAUGCAUCGUUCCUACUUCCUCCAUAAUGCCCAAUUCUUCACAGGUUUGUUUCCCCUUCUAAUUUAAUUAAAAAGUAUAUAAUUUUGUAUUUGCUGAAACAACAUAUUAGCAAGUUAUAUAACUCAUAUGUUUAUUGUUUAUUUAAGACAAAGUAAAAACUCUUGCAUGUUUUAACUAAAAUUUGCUUCAUAUGCUUUAAUUAACAUGCACCCAAUUCUCAAUUGGCUUAAUGGGUGUAGGUCAUACUUGUGAUGCCUCUAGGUGAAUCGACACAUAAAUACCUAAUGUCGGUCUUUGCUUCUAGUGGAAAAUUUGGCCUGUAGAGUUAUUUGUACGAAUUAGCACUGUGUGAGUUAUUGUUCCGUGUGCAUUCAUAGGAUCUUUGCUUAUUCUUGCAGCCUCCCUCACAAGGGUAGUAGUCAUGAUUCUCACACUCACUGAUAUACAUCCGUAUGUAGUCCAUAUUGAAAUCUCUAAAAGGACUUGUAUUUAGGAACGGAGCAAGUAUAAUAGAAACAUUCCUGUUCGAAUUAGUAGAUUUCUCAAAUCAAUGAACACAUAGUCCUAAAAAUUACCAAGAAAAUCAAAGUUCACAUUUUGAAGAAAUUGUUAGACAUAUAUAAGUCAAGUAAGAAUGUAAGAUGAUGUUAUAACAUAUAUGACUAAAUUGUGACUACCUGAUCUAUCUAUUUUUUUUGCCUCAUCUAAGGAAGUUCUUGUAACGCCCUUCCGUAAAACAUUUGCUCUUCUAGUGUGCGUUGUAGUACUUCUAUCAAUAUCGAUCAUUUUUGGUAAAGAUUCUUCCGCUGGGUGCCUAUAUAUAUGGAGUGACAUUUAGUCAUAGUUAAUUAGUCAAUAAAUCAGAAUAGCUGGUGUUUCAUACCAGUUAAGAAGUUCCCGAGGUUUGGGUAUAUCGAGAUCGGUAUAUACUCAUGUGGCACUGCUUGACUAUAGGCACAAAUGUAUCAAGUAGAAAUCUGUUAAAUAUUUUAUUUUUGUAAAUAACAUAUCAGGUUUUAAAAUUGUUGAACUUACCAUUGUUGAGGUCACACAGACACUUUGGUUAUCGAUGAAUAUGUAUAACAUAAACCUGCUCAUCCAUAUAGAUCACAUCAAGGCUAAUAAGUUCAUCGAUUGGAGGAUUAUUGUAUCCCAUGUUCCCAUUAGUUUCACUUAAACAUCCCAGUUUUGGUAUCUUGUUGAAGUCUCUUAGUUUCUUGUAUUCCCAUUGCUUCAAAAGGAUUGAAAAUGUACUUGUCAAUUGAUAAUGUUCAUAUGAAGAUUUUUGCUGAAGAAAUUGAGUUCAUAGUAAUAAUACUUACUAACCUUGUUGAUUCAGGUGAGAAGGAAACUUGGAUGGUUGGGUGUGACUUAUGUAGAAAGGAGUUGCAUGCCACUUCAUAAUUUGGGCCGCCUUUGAUAUUGCCUGAGCACCAAGUCUGAAGAUCUCGCAUCAUAGAGAGUUCGCUUCAAUUGUCCUGGUGGUGGGAUCGUCGAGUCUCGGCGUCGUACAGUUGGUUGGCUUCAAUUUUCCUAGUCAUGGUGCUGAGUCGUGAGUUGCUGGGUGUCUUAGAUUUCCAGGCGGAUGGUGGGCGUGUGCUGGGUGCUGGGUGCGGCCAGCUGUGUAUUUUGAUGUAUGAGUUCUGGCUGUGCCCUUAUGGAGUCCUUGUAUGCUUAUUAUUUUUCUUCCAAUUAAAGCCUAUAUGUGACAAUAGGUUGAUGGAUGCGGCCAAUUUUGUAUUUUUAUGGGGACUCUGUCCGUAAGCACUCUUUGUAUGUGUUUACGUGUCCUUGGCUUACCGAGUGUCCGAGUUAUGUAUGUGUCCUUUAGAGUCCCGAUUAGGAAUUGCACGUGACAAUAGUUGGACAUGUAACGCCUUUAUAUAAUAUAUUAGUGGAAGAGAUAAUUAUUUUGUGUUGUGUUUUUUGGCUUCCUUCUACGAUUAUGUUGACGAGCCUUAUGUGUGCGUCUAUGUUGAUGAGCCUUAUGUGUGCGUCUCCAUAUAGACGUGACAGUUCAAUUUGCUGAUCCGUACAUAUUAACUUAUUACGUAAACUCUUUUAAUCUCAGCCAUUGUUUUUAUGAUCAAACGGUGGUAAUAAUAUUAGUCUGUGUGGAUUAACAUGGUGUAUUAUUUGUCUUCUAUUUUAAUUAUAUAAUAGAUUGCACUAAUCAUAAGGAAAGGUCUACCAAGAAUAAUUGGACAUGUAGGAUUGUAAUCUAUAUCAUGGACAAUGAAAUCUACGGGCACAUAAUUACUAUUUACAACAAUAAGAACAUCAUUAAUUCUCCCCGUAGGUUUCUUAAUAGUGGAAUCCGCAAGAUGCAAAUUUAAAGAACAAUUAUCAAAUUCACGAAAACCUAACACAUCACAUAAAGUUUUUGAAAUCGUGAAAACGCUAGAAAAUCACACAAAGCAUGGUGCUUAUAAUCUUUAAUCUUAAUCUUAAUAGUAGGUUCCCACUCAUCAUGAAGUUUUAUAGGGAUAGAAACUUCCAAUUCAAGCUUUUCUUCAAAAGAUUUCAUCAUAGCUUCAAUGAUAUGUUUAGUAAAAGCUUUAUUUUGAUUAUAAGAAUGAGGAGAAUUCAACAUGGAUUGCAACAAGGAAAUACAAUCUAUCAAAGAAAAAUUAUCAUAAUUAAUAUCCUUGAAAUCCAAAAGAGUGGGUUCAUCGCUACCUAAAGUUUUGACCUCUCCAAUCCCACUUUUUAUCAAUUUUUGCAUCAGGAUCUAUAAACUCCAAAUUAUUGCGACGCCUUUUAACUAAAGUUGACUCAUCUCCAGUACCAUCCUUAUCAAGAUUUAUAUUGGAAAACAAAUAUUCAAUAGGAGUCACAUCAAUCACUUUAAGAUCUUCAUCAUUAUUUUCACAAAAACUAGAAGAACACGCUUUUACAAACCAAUCUCGCUUAGCAUGCAUCUUAGCGGUUCUUUCUUUGAACUCAUCAAUGGAAAUUCUCAUAGAUUUUAGAGAUUCAUUAAUAUCAUGCUUGGGUGUAAUAGAUCUAAUUUUCGAAGAAUCAAUCUGAAGAGAAAUUCGAUUAACGUUCCUAGCCAAAUUAUCAAUCUUAAGCAAAUUUUCUUCAACCAAAGCAUUGAAAUUCUUUUGCGAACUCAUAAAUUCUUUAAUACUAUUCUCAAGAUCAGAGGGCGUAUUAUUAUAAUUUUUAUAAGAAUUGUUGUAGGAAUUACCAUAAUUAUUAGAGGAAUUACUAGGGAAUGGCCUGGGAUUAAAAUUACCUCUAUACGCGUUAUUACCAAAAUUGUUCCUACCAACAAAAUUAACAUCCAUAGAUUCAUUAUUAUUCUUAAUCAAAGUGGACAAAGGAAUAUCAUUAGGAUCAAUAGAAGCAAUCUUGCUAGCAAAUAAUUUCAUAAGUUCAUCCAUCUUUCCACUCAAAACAUUAAUCUCUUCAAUCGCAUGCACUUUUUAACUAGUGGAAGAUCUUUCGGUGUGCCAUUGAGAAUAAUUAACCAUAAUAUCAUCUAGGAGCUUAGUAGCUUCUCCUAAAGUAAUUUCCAUAAAAUUACCUCCCGCGGCCAAAUCUAAAAGAUUUCUAGAAGCAAAGUUCAAUCCGGCAAAAACAAUUGUAUAAUCAUCCAUAUAUUUAAACCAUGAGCAGGGCAAUUUCGUAUCAUCAAUUUCAUCCUAUCACAUGAUUGUGCAACAUGUUCAUGAUCAAGUUGCUCAAAAUUCAUAAUAUCGUUUCUAAGGGAGAUGAUUUUAGUGGGAGAAAAAUACUUGGAAAUAAAAGCAUUUUUACACUUAUUCCAUGAAUCAAUACUAUUUUUAAGCAAAGAUGAAAACCAAGUUUUAGCAGGAUCUCGUAGUGAGAAUGGAAAUUGCUUCAAUUUAACAAUAUCAUUAUCCACAUCUUUAUUUUUUUGGAUAUCACACAACUCAACGAAAUUAUUUAGAUUGGAUGCGUCAUCUUCACUAGGAAGGCCGAAAAAUUGAUCUUUAAUAACAAGAUUCAGCAAAGCGGCAUUAAUCUAUACUACUAUAUAGUGUACGAGUUUUUCAAUUUUGAAUCCUAAGCCUAAGAAGCAAUUUUGGCCGUUGAUGACGCCAAUCCUAUGGUCCAAAGUGAAAGGAUUCGCACCUACAGUGCUCACUGCACAAACACACUUCACUCUAGAGAAAUCUCGACACUGCGGAAUUGUUUAUUGUUGGAUGCUUCGACAUUUUCUGUACGUGCAGCAGAAGUUGGCAGCCACUCCAAUGUCCUGUGCUCCCAUCUCCGAUUUUCUCUUUCUUGGCAUCAUAGGAUUUUCUGUGGCUACACACGAUUAGUAGGGGAUGGUGCAACUGUGGCCAGUUAUUGCUUUUCACGUGUGCACAAUGCAUCACAGGAUUGGAUUAUAUGUGUCCAAACUUUGUACCCUAGAAUAUUGUGUUUCUUAGAGAAUAUUAUAACAGAUUUGUUAUACAUUAGCUAAGUCACCUUGUGAUUAGAGUAUAACACGGUACAAAUAUCUGAGACUGAUAAUUUUUUGGCAUGUGCAUUUUCUUCUAAGUUUUGCAACUAUAAAAUACUAUUCCUCCAAGCACAAAUGUAAUUAUAAGAUAAUUCCUAUUUACUGUAUGCAUCAUUAACAAAUUUUUAUUAUGUUUGCACCAGAACCACCCACUGUAGGAGUGAUAAGUGAUAACUACCAUAAUAGCUUUACGUACAAACAAAACACAACGGUUGAUUCGUUAGAAUUUCCAAGAUCCGUGUGUUUGAUUUUCUUCUUUUGGAAAAUUUGUAUCCAUGAAUUGAACAUUUCACGUGAUGUGCACGUACCCGCGUACUAGUUUCAUAAGAUUCCGUGCUAGUGGCGUGAGCAAUCGGAGUACUAAUAAAAUUAGUAUUGGAAAAGUCACACAAUUUGGUAUUCCCUCGAGUCAUCGUGACAAAGCAAGCAGUCCAACACUCAAGCAAACAAAAAGCAAGCGAAAAGAUGAAUGGAAGAAGGGCGAAUAAAAAGGCAAAUCUUUUAAAAAAUCGCUUUAGAAGUGGGGGAGAGGAAAGCGAGAGGCAAAUGGCGAAUAAUAUAAUGCAAGAGAUGAGAGUUUAUGAUGGGUAUUUGGUAGGCUUGAUGUAGAUCUCCCCGGCAAUGGUGCCAGAAAUUCUUCCUGCUACUUCUUGACCUUGCGUUGGUUUUUCCCUUGAAGAGGAAAGGGUGAUGUAGUAUAGUAGAGAUAAGUGUUUCCCUCGGUUAAGAACCAAGGUAUCAAUCCAGUAGGAGAAACACGCAAGUCCCCAAUAGAUGCACCUGCACAAACAAUCAAACACUUGAACCCAACGCGAUAAAGGGGUUGUCAAUCCCUUCACGAUCACUUGCAAAUGUGAGAUCUGAUAGAGAUAGAUAGAACUAAACAAAAGAUAAAAUAUUUUUGGGUUUUUUGGUUUAUAGAUCUGAACAUAAAUUAUUGCAAGUAGUAGAUCAGAAACUAAUAUGAUAGAAAAUACUCGGGGGGCAUAGGUUUCACUAGAGGCUUCUCUCAUGAAGGCAAAUAAUACGGUGGGUGAACAAAUUACUGUCGAGCAAUUGAUAGAAAAGCGCAAAGUUAUGACGAUAUCCAAGGCAAUGAUUAUGCAAUAUAGGAAUCACGUUCGUGUCAAGUAGACCGACUCCUGCCUGCAUCUACUACUAUUACUCCACACAUUGACCGCUAUCCAGCAUGCAUCUAGAGUAUUAAGUUCACAAAGAACGGAGUAACGCCUUAAGUAAUAUGACAUGAUGUAGAGGAAUAAAAUAGAGCGAUAUGAUGAAAACACCAUCUUUUUAUCCUCAAUGGCAACAAUUAAAUAUGUGUCUCGCUACCCCUACUUUGUGACUAGGUGAAAUCACGCAAGAUUGAACCCAAAGUUAAGCACCUCUCCCAUUGCAAGAAAAACCAAUCUAGUUGGCCAAACCAAACCGAUGGUUUGAAGAUAAAUACAAAGAUAUCAAAUUAUGCAUAUAAGAAUUCUGAGAAAAUUCAAAUAAUAUUCAUAGAUAAGUUGAUCAUAAAUCCACAAUUCAUCGGGUCUCGACAAACACACUGCAAAAGAAGAUUACAUUGGAUAAAUCUCCAAGAACAUCGAGGAGAACAUGGUAUUGAGAAUCAAAGAGAGAGAAGAAGUCAUCUAGCUACUAGCUAUGGACCCGUAGGUCUGUGGUAAACUACACAUGCUUCAUCGGAAGGGCAAUAGAGUUGAUGUAGAUGCCCUCCGUGAUCGAAUCCCCCUCCAGCAGGAUGCCAGAAAAGUCCCCAAGAUGGGAUCUCAUGAGAACAGAAGGUUGCAGCAGUGGAAAAGUGUUUUCAUGGACGCCUUUGGUGGUUCUGGAAUAUAUGUGAAUAUAUAAGAGGAAGAGCUAGGUGAGGGGAGUCCAGAGGGGCCCACAAGGUAGCCCCCCCCCCUAGGGCGCACCCUCCACCCUUGCCACCGCCUCGUGCCUCUUAUGUCUUGGACUCCAAGUCUCGUGGGUGUCUUCUAGUCCAAGAACAACCAUCGUGAAGUUUUGUUUCGUUUGGACUCCGUUUAGUAUUCCUUUUCUGCAAAUCUCAAAAACAAGGAAAAAAUAGAAACCGGCACUCGGCUCUAGGUUAAUAGGUUAGUCCAAAAUAAUAAUAUAAAAUAGCAUAUUAAUGCAUAUAAAACAUCCAAAAUAGAUAAUAUAAUAGCGUGGAACAAUCAAAAAUUAUAGAUGCAUUGGAGACAUAUUAGACCCCCUUUAACAAUACGGUGGUUCCUAUGACUCAAGAAAGGAAAAUGAAACUACGAAAAAAAAGUCUUCACGCUUCAUAAUCCUCACAUCAAUAUCAAUAUUUUCAAGGUCACACCAAUUUCCUCAUUUUCAAAGUCUUCAACAAAACCAAAGUCUUCAAUUGAAGACAUUCAUUUUUAGGGGUCAACUUUCUUUGAGUAUAUCAAACUCCUCAGAGACUUUUAGACAUGUGUACACUCACAAACAUAUUAGUCCCUUAACCAAUAAGUCUUCAAUACACCAAAAUCACUAAGUGGCAUCUCCCACCUUUUUUGGUGAUUGAUGACAAAUAGGUUAAGUUUUCAACGGGGAUAAACAGAUGAAGUGUAAAUAUUGAUAUUGGGGAAUUUGAUCACAAGAUAUAGAACUCCCCCUGAAGAUGUGCAUAUUUGAGGAAUUUAAUUUGGAUUGCAAAUGCACAUUGUAGAAUAAAAUUAUGGAUAUCUCCCCCUAUAUCUUGUAAUUCAUACAAGCAUUUAACAUAUGAUAUGAAGAAUUUGAAAUGCAUGAUGAAAUAUGGUAUCUGGCAAAAUUCAGCAUGCCAUUAAGGUACUUAAGGAAAUAAGCAUGCAGAAAGUAGCUCAAAAGUAUCAGACCACCAUCAUACUUAAGUUUACAACUCAUCAAACAAACACUUCAGAAGAGCGAGUGUUGUAACUUAAAGAAAAAACAUCCCAUACAUAGAGACUCGCUUGAAGACUAACUCAAAUUUGCCCCCCUUUGUCAUCAAAUGACCAAAAGGGAUGAAAAAUGACGACUAACGCCCCUGAAGAAUAUCGUCAUGAGGUUGAUGGAGGAGCACGCGCGUUGUUGGGGUCGCUUGUUGAAUUAGGGCCUAUCGCAGUGUCUUCGAGAUCCUCAGCUUCAUCCGUAUCAUGCGAUGAAGAAAAUGAACUUGUGACCAACUAAGGAACUUUGACCUUCUUGAAUUUCUUCGAGGGGGGAUUUGACCACUCAAAGUUCUGUUGAAAGUCCAUCUACUUGAGGUCUUCAUCACUGUAAAGAUGAGAAAGUAUGGCCCAAGUGCGAUUAAGAUUUCAUGCGGAUAGUAAUGAUUCUUCUUCAUAGUGUUCUAAGUAAUAGUCAUGUUAUGGAGAAUCGAGCCAAAUAGACGCUUGACCCACUUGUGAUUGUGAUCGACCUUAUGGAGAAGACUUAGAAGAAGCUCGCGAUCAGUCAUCACUCGUGGGGUAGUGGCUUGAGGAUUUUGCACAUUGGCUUUAGAAGCAAAAUCUUGAGUUACAGAGUCAUCAUUGGUGGAAUAAGAUGCAGUCGUAUGAAACUGACCAUCCAAUGGACGAGUGCCUUCAUCAAUAACAACAUCCCUAGAGUAAUGCUUGUAAUUAGUGGCAUUGCAUCCAUGCAUCAUGUCUAAAUUCUAAAAGUUGAACUGAGGAAAUUUGAAGGCCUCAAAAUUUUAAUUAGAAAGAACAGCAAGAACCCUAAGAAUUUCAUUCAAUGAAACCAAAAUGUUCAUCUUUGAUGUUUGAUAUUUUUGGCAAGGGUUUUGAUCCAAGCUAGAUAUAAUGAACACUUUUGAAGAUUAUUUUGGGCUUUGGAUUGAAAUCAAUACUAUAUUUGAAUUUGAAUUUGUAUUCUUCAUAUAUGGAAUAUAAAUUCAAAUGUCUCUAAUAUAUUUUGUGAGCUUGUGGAGAAGUCCUUUGAGGAACAUAAAAUAUGGGCAUGAGUUUGAAUCCUAUUUUCAAUUUAAACAAUGGCAAAUAAAUAAAUAAAAGAAAACCAAACAGAAAAGUAAAACAAAGCAAAAACUACCUGGACGUACCUGGCUGGCCAGCCCACCUGGCGGCGCAGCCAACCGACCCAGCCCACCAGGGGCAGAGGCGUCUUCCACCUCGCGUCAGUCGGGUGCAAAGCGCAUGCCCGAUGCGCGCGCGCCUGUAGCUCGCCGCCUCCUUCUUUCCGACGAGCCCCUGGACGCAUGGCCGACUUCCUCGGUGUCAUCCGAAUUCCUCUGGCUCGCUCACUCUUCCCCCUACUCUCUCCCUCGCCGUUCCCCACAUCACCAAACACGCCCGCCUCCGCCGACGAGCACCACAACGACCAUCGCCUCUCCCUCGUCCCCUCGAGCAGUCCAGAAGCUCCGCAUCAUCGCCAUCGUCCUCUCCGCCGAGCCACGCGGCACCGGACACCUCGAACACCGCAGUCAUCUUCUACCUCCGGCAACUGAGAUCGUCGGCGCCGUUUGUCGUCCAUGGUGCCUCUCGGAGCCCGCUGAGUCCUCCAUUGGAAUCCCACUGAGCUCCUCCGUCUUCCCCUUCACUCCCCGUGCUCUAAUUUGUGCGCUAGCCACCACCCCGCGAGCACCUGAAGCCGUUGUCCGCCAUUGCUGACGAGCUCGACGCUCUCGAGCUUCUCUGCUCGAACGCGUUGCACCACCGUGCUCCUCGUGACACGAGGAGGCCGUAGAGCCUACGCACACAAGCAGUCGAGCACCCUAGCUUCGUUUUCGUUGAUGUUGUAGCUCUGGCCACCACAUUCAUCGUUGUUGCCAUCACUAGGGGGCCUCCCCUCGCCUAGCCCGCCUGCUCUAUUGGACGCGACGCACUCCCAGCGUCCCAUAGCCACAAGCCGCACUCAAAACCGAGCCCCGUAGCGGUUUCCUGACGAGCUUCCGCCACGGAUUUGGUCGUCGUCGGCCGAGCUCCGGCGAGUGCCGAUGUGGCACUAUCAUUAGGCGCUAACCCCACUAUUUAAACCCCCCUCACACACAACCACUGACAGCGGGCCCUACCACUGGUCAAACCCCAGUCAGCGCUAGGUUUGACUAGGAUUAGUCCUUGUGUCACUGAUGUGUGGACCCCACAUGUUAGGUUUGACCUAGGCAGCCCCGUUGACUUGCUGAUGUCCGCAUGGGUCAUGCUGACACGGUAUAUAUUUUCUGGGAUUUAAAAUAAAUCAAAAAUGCUUCAUUUAUUUUGAAAAAAUAUCCAAAACUUCAAAAAUUCAUAUAAAUUCAACCGUAACUCCAAAUGAAAUAAUUUAUAUAUGAAAAUUAUUAGAAAAAUCUAAUCUAUCCAUUCGUACUAGUUUCAUGCAUGACAAAGAACUUAACCUUACUAUAUAGAUAAAAAUAAGUUAAUGCACUUUGUAAAUUCAUAACUUGAGUUUGAUUUUGAACCUUUGGUUCAAAUUAACUCAAACCCUUCCAUUGGUAGCUACAUUAGCUCAAAUCACAGCAUAUUGACAUGUCACAUUCAUACAUCAUAUUGUUGCGUUGCAUUGAUUCUGCUCCUUCUUUGUUUGCUUGUGUUGCUCCCUCUCAGUGGACGUUGUUCCGACGUCGUGAUCAUUGACACCGAUGAAGAACUAUACUAUCUUCAGAGUGCCAGGCAAGCAAGCCCCCUUUGAGCAUUCCGAUACAAUCCCACUCUCUCACUCCUGCUCUCAUUUACUUCAUUAGGACAAUAACGAUUCAACUGUUACAUGCUGCGGUAGUUGAACCCUUUCCUCUGCAUGACCUGUCUUUGCCAUAGUAAAUAGUUGAAAAGACCACUAGCAUGAGUAGGAGUUGUUUGAGCCAUGAUGUGCCUACUCAUUCAUGCUUGCUUGUUAUGCCUGCUAUGCUUAGAGUUGUGUCAGGUAUGAUUCAUUUGGGAUGGAUUGGGAUGGAGAUGAACAUGUCCUACUGAUGAGAGAUAAGUGUGUGAACAUGAUUCGGUAAAGGUAGCGAUGAGAGGCCAGGUAGGAGUACAAGGUGGGUUGUCUCAUUGAAGCCAUCCUCAGGAACUAAGUUCCGUGUUUGUGAUCAAAGAACAGCUACUACCACACGUUGGGCCCUGAAAUAUGACCCCGCUCGACUUAUUAACCCCCUUGUCCUCCGUCCAGGAGUUGCAAGUAGUCUGUAGUGUUUAUAGUAUGCUGGAGGUUGUGCGUAGCGCUGACCCUAGGGGUGGGCUAUGAUGUGGUAGGCAAGUGGCACGGUAUACCGAGGCACCCAUUUGGUGGGCUCGAGAACCCUGCACACAUCGUUUAGGGCCGUAGUGGAAAACCUCGGCUGGUCUUCCUUGCGGAUGGAACUCAAAUAGGCAAUAAACCUGGACUAGAAACUUGUGUGGUUAGUCAGGUCGUGGUUUACACCCACGUUGGCUUUCGCUUGAAGUCUGCCGAGCACAUGUCAUGUGCAAACGCUAAGUGGUGGAAACAUGUGUGAAGAAGUACCCCCCUACAGGGUUAUAUAUGAUCUAUUCGAAUAGCUGCGUCCGUGGAUGUGGACUACUUGGAAUGCUUACAUUGUUCAUAGAUAACUGGAAGUGCAUACUCUAAAAUGCGAAAGAUAAGCGUGAGUGCUAUCAAUGGCCUUAUCAUAGGGAGAUGGGAGCGGGUCCAUAGUGAUGUAUUGAUUUGGUGAAUAUGUGGACUCGUGUGCGCCACCUCAAAGAAAGUACUCGUAGUACACGAUAGCCACUGAGUCAAAGAUGGCUUGUUGCAGUUAAACUCCACCACCCCUUUGUUGAUACUGAUGCAUAUGUAGAUAGUUCUGAUGUAAGUCUUGCUGGGUACAUUUGUACUCAUGUUUGCUUAAUUUAUGUUUUUGCAGAGAGACCUCAUUCUCGCUAGUAGUUUCACGUGGGCUUAUGAGCUUGGGAAUCCCAGAGAGAGGUCUGGUUCCUUUAGAGGGUCUUGUAGAUAGAUAGGCUUCUUAGCCUUCUUUAUUUUAGAUGUCUAUACUCAGACAUGUUUAUGCAUCUGCUUGGCUUGUAUGACUUUGUGUGAAGGGUCAUGAGACUCGCUGCUUGUAAUAAAUGCUAUGAUGGCUCUUGUGGGCCUUUAUCUAUAUGAGUUGUUGAGUUAUGUUGUGAUGCCUUGUUGUACAACGCAUACUUGCAUGUUAUGCAUACGUGUAACAUGUAUUGCUAUGUGUGGGAUCCAACAACCUAGUCGUUUAUUCUUGGUAGUCUCUCUUACGGGGAAAUGUCUCCUAGUGCUUCCACUGAGCCAUGGUAGCUUGCUACUGCUCCAGAACACAUGGGAUGAUCGGCAUGUGUCCUUCUUUGCUCUUUUGUUCGUCCCUCCGGGGAAAUGUCAUGCGUUGCUUACCAGAGUCCUGAUUGCUUGCUAUAGGCUAGAUUCACUCGCUGCUGACCGACACAUGCAUUCCUGGGUCAUGUAUGCCUAUCCCAGUAAGUGAGUGCCACCUUGGGUUUAUGACUAGUCAUGUCGACCCGCGGUAUUUGUCAUAUGGAUGGUACCGACACUAUCAUAUACGUGAGCCAAAAGGCGCAAACGGUCCCGAGCCAGGUAAGGUAGCACCCGUGGGGAUACCGUGUGUGAGGCCGCAAAGUGAUACGAUGUGUUACAUGCUAGAUCGGUGUGACUUAGGGUCAGGGUCCUGACAAUAGGGCUUCAAUUGAAAUGGCGAAAGUGCAACAUUUGCCAAAGUCCUCAUGAAGAAAUCAUGAUAGUUAAUGGGAAUACCAUGUAUAAUGUUGAAUAGCAAAUUUUGAAUGAUGCCAACAACUUCUUCUUCUUCAGAGUUGUGGCCUUUGAUCGGACUGAGGGAAUCCUUCACUAGGAAGGUGGUUCUAGGAGCUUGGCCUGGCUGCAAAGGCUUCAUCAACACUUGCAUGAGGUGAUUUUCAAGUUCAGGUUCUUCAUACAUGAGCCUUGCGCCUUUUGUAGGAGGACUGACUGGGAUGGCAUGAAGUAAUUCAGAGGCUGGAGCUUUAUAAUGAGUGUUUUCAGUCAUCCAGUCUAGAACCCAUGAAUUGAUAUCAACCACAUUGCCAGUGAGAUGCAGGGUUGCAUAGAACUGAAGAAUUAGCUCUUCCUUCCAGUCACAGAUAUCAACACAGAAAUUGAGGAGUCCAUCUUCGUGAAGAACAUUGAGAACUGGUUGAAAGCAUGGAAUGGACUCCAUAUCCACAUGAGGAAUUUGGCGGUGCUGGAAGACUUUGUCCUUAUCAAACAGAAGAUAUGCAUAGAAAUUCAUCUGGCUCGCAGUCCCAAACCUCUUGCACCUUAGUCUUGCUGAGUCAUAUGGAUUUGCAUCAGUGGAGAAAUGAUGCUCAGUGAAGAAAUCAUCAUUCUUGAAUUUUGGCCUCUUUGCAUGAGGAUUUUGAGGCUUGGGCUAAAGAUUUGUAGCAGAAGGCCUCACAAUCUCUUGAGACACAACUUCAGGUAAUUCAAAUUGAGGAAUUUCAGUGGCAGUUUCAUUGGCAGUAGUUUGGUUCUCCAUUUCUUUAGUUAUUACAGCUAGAACAUCUUCAGGUAUGGAUUGGAGUGAAGCUUGACGUCCUGCAGAUCGAGAUGGACCUAGAGGGGGCUCGUGAAUAGCUACAAUUACAAAAUUUAAUUAUUACUUAGCAAUUUUAGGCAAUAAUGUGGAAUAUGAAAGUGAGCCUAACAAUUGCAAUUGUGAUGCUAAGAGCUAAGCAAGAUAAACAAGUAACACAAGUAAGCAAGCGCAAUAUGAUAUAAGUAAGAGCUAAUAGACAAGUAACCACAAGUAGAGAGUUAGGGUUAGGAAUAACCGCAACUCUGGGAGAUGAGGAUGUAUGCCGAUGUUCACUUCCUUGGAGGGAAGCUACGUCACCGUUAGAGAGGUGGAUGUUACCACGAAGGCACACCAACGCCACGAAGGCUCACCCUAUUCUCCCUUUGAGACAACAGCACGGAGGCGUUUCUCAACCACUAGUGGUAGACCUUGGGAUGGUCUCCAAACCCUCACAAACUUUUCUGGGGGUAAUCACAAUGGUGAAUUCCUCUCCGAAAGAUUCCUACCACCUAGGAGUCUCCAACCUCCAAGAGUAACAAGAACGAUGGGAAAAGCUCAAGACUUGCUCAAAUCACGAAUUCCUUUGGUGCAAAGAAGGGGAAGGAGUGGAUCUAUCACUUGAUAAGACAACUUGUCUCAAAUGCUGUCAAAUCCGUUAGGGAUCUAAGAUUUGGUGUGGAGGUAGUGAGAGAGAGAGUGUGUGAAAAGUGUUCUAGGGUUUUGCUCAAAGUGAAUGGUCAACCCUCUCCCGUGGGGAAGAAAGGCUAUAUAUAGUGUGAGAACAAAUAUGGCCGUUGUAGUGCAAGUGAAAGGGCAGGCCGGACAUCCGGGCUAGGGGCCGGACAUCUAGCCUAGCAAGCCACUCGAAGAACAAGGUAGAAACAGGGCAGAAAACAGAGGGGCCGGACAUCUGGGGGCCAAGCUCGGACAUCCGGCAAGUCAGGAAACCCCGGACAUCCGGCACAUGGCCGGACAUCUGGCAAGUUUACCAAAUCAGAAAUGCCCUCUGGAUAGCACAUGCCGGACGUCCGGCAGGCAAGCCCAGAAAUCCUAAGUGCACUGGGAUCCCGGACAUUCGGCAUAGAGGGCCGAACAUCCGGCAAGCCGCACAGCACAAAAGUGCUCUCUGGAUAGCUAGGCCCGGAUAUCCGGUGACCAGGCCGGAUAUCUGGCGUGAGGCCCGGACAUCCGGCUUGAAGCCCGGACAUCUGGCAGCCCAGAGACAAAAGCAUGAAGAUGGAGCAUGUGCAUAUAUGGAAAGGAGGUUUGUGGCAAGAUCAAGCCUUUAACUAACCCUAUCGAUCCCCUCUUAAUAGUGUGGGAUCCUAUACUCAAGAAAACAAAUAUGUAGUCAAUUUUUAUGCUUCAUCCUUGAGUAAAAUCACUUCAUAUGCUCUUGAUCCACACACUUCGAUGAACCUGGGGCUAACACAUGAUAUUUACUUGACAACCAUUGUUAGACCCCUACAUGUAUAUUUUCAUCAACAUCAAAACAUGAUGUAAGGGCAUGAUUGCUCUUUCCAUCCCCCCCCCCCCUUUUGUUUGUUGAUGACAAUCUUACAUGUAGUAUCAUAGGUGCAAUAAAUAAUCUUAGUAUUGACAAACAUGAGAGAAAAAGUACAAAAUAUGUUGAUGUUUCUAUUUGCUUUUAGCUCCCCCUCAUUGUGUGCAUGAGAUGAAUAUGUUAGGAUGUACAACACAAUCUUCGUAUGGUAGCAUAUGUAGCUCAAAGAGAUAUAAAUGUGAGAGACAUGCACAUAUGAGACCACCAUAACACAUGGACUAAAAACAUUUCAUAGCCACAAGAUAAUAUCAUGUCUCAAACGAUCAAGUACCAUAGGUAGCAACAUAAUAACAUAGUCGCACAUGAUCAAGUACCAUAGGUAGAAUAAUACUCCCUCCGUUCCUAAAUACUUGUCUUUCUAGGCAUUUCAACAAGUGACUACAUACGGAGCAAAAUGAGUGAAUCUACACUCUAAAAUAUGUCUACAUACAUCCGUAUGUAGUAGUCAUUUGAAAUGUCUAGAAAGACAAAUAUUUAGGAACAAAGGGAGUAGUAGCUAACACAAAUAGCAAACACAUCAUAGCAUGACCAUACUAAGAUACUACUUCUCCCCCUUUGACAGCAACAAGUAAAAAGGGGCGAAGAACUAAACAGACACAGUCACUCCUGGCAGAUGUCUCAGCAACAAAGAACUCGGAGUACUCGUCAUGAGAUGGGAAACCGAAGGUGGAAGUGGACGGAGCCGCAGGAAGAGGAUCAUCAUCACUCAUGGGACUCCCAUGGUCACGGAGGCGCUGCUUGAGUUGAUUCUUCAAAAUGAUGAGGUGCUUCUGCACAUCAUGAUUUUGCUCACAGUUGAACGUGAUUGCCUUUAUAAUAGCAGACUGAGCGUUUCCCAAGAAUGAGGCAAGACGGCCACGAGGAUCUAUCAAGGAAGAAGGCAUGGAAGAACUAGUGGGUUGAGACCCACCAGUAGUCUUCCUAGGUGGUCGAGGUGCAGUAGCCGGUCCAGGAGCAGCCAUGCACAUGUGGACGGGUGGCUUCCAAAUGGAAUGCCCAAUGGUCUUAGCAACCUAAAACGGAGCAGUGUGAUCAAUGAUGGCCGGAAUGAAUGGAGCAUGUAGGAAUUGACAUGUCUGAAUGAAGCUGGAGAGAUGAAUCUCAUGCCAAAUAUAGUGAGUGGUGUCAAGAGGCUCAGUAGGUGCAUCAUGCAUACGUACCAAUAGAUCAAUACAGUAGUUGUGAGCCCUUGAGUGAUCUCCCUUCUUUGGAUAGAGAGUGUGAAGCACACACUAACAGAGAAUGUAGUAGGGAGACCGAAAAAUAGAUGACUCAUUGGGUGGAUAUGCACGUUCCUCUUCAGUGAGAUGAGAGGGGGCUUAAGAAGAGCCAUGCACGCAUCAAUCCCUUUGGGCUUAUAGCAAGGAUCCAUACUAUGAAUGUGAUGACCAACACCGGAGAAGCCCAAAAUCUGAACAAAGCGGUCACAGGUGAUGCUUAGCACAGUGUCAUCAGUCAUCCAUGUGAGAGUGUGGUCUGGCCCAAAGAAGCAGGUGGCAUAGAACUGAAGGAUGGCAGCUUCAUUCCAAUCACACUUGUAGGUCAUGGCUUGACCUAGAGUCAUAGCAUCAAUGAUCUUGACGGUGUUGUCAGGAAACAUGGUAGGAUGAUCACGCAAGAACUGAAGAUCCAGGUAUUUGUGAGGGGCAAACCCACGGCCAUGGACAAAACUUGAGUACAGAUCUUUCUGCAUGCGAGUACGGAACCGAGGAUCCUCGACAUCAACCACCAUCUCAUAUUGGUUGGUAUCCCGUCGGAACUCAAGGUAUGGACCAGCCUCCGCGGUGGUGAAGUCGUGUAGAAGGCGGUCGCCGCUGUCGGGAAGCUCCAUGGAGAUGCGACGACCAUGGACCAUGGGCAUGGCAGUACCACGGACUGGAGGCACCGGUGCCCUUUGAGUGCCUGGUUUUGACUGGCCAACAGAGUGUCUUGGAUCAAACUCAUCCUCUUCCUCCCCAACAUAGUCCUCAUCAUCCGAAUCCAAGGCCGACGGACUUGUGGAUGGAGCCCGCUUCUUCUUAUUGGUGGUGGUCUUCUUCUUCUUAGGCCGAGCAUGCUCAUUAGAGUUGGUUGAGCCUUGCCGGCGAUCGACUAAAAUGGAUAAUGAUAGGUCCCGAUGAGAUGGAGCCAACAAGUAUGAACAAAGGGUAAAACAAAUUAAACAGUGGGAGGAACAUUUUUUGAUCAUGACCGUAGAACAAGUCCAGUGAUAAGUCAAAAAAAUUAGACAUGCCCAUGAUUAAGUUCAUUAGCCGAGUACAUAGAGAGAUUUUUAGGCUUAGGCAAGAGACACCAAAAAUCUAGAGAGAGAUAUGUGCCAAGAUAUACAUGAGAGAUAAUGAAGCCCUAAGAUGAUUUGGUCACAACAAGAGUAGAAUGCAAGAGAGAUAGCAUCCAUACCCCGGGAAGAAGGCACGGGGUGCACGGGGCCGCAGUUCUUGGUACGCGCCAUGAGGAACUCCGUGGGUGGAUCCCACAAUACAGCGGUCCCUCCCAAGAGAUUCUCACCACAACCCAAGGAAUGGAUUGGAUAGAGCUGUAGAUCGGGAGGAGGAGAAUUCGUGGGCAGGAGAUCGGGACCGGAGGAUGGAGGAGAAGGCCGGAGCAGUGCCGGAGCACAGCCAGGCGGCGGCGGCUGUUUGAGGAGAUGAGGAGAGCAACGGGGAGAGAAUGGGGAAACUGCCCCGAAAUCUCGAGCCCCGCCCCUGUUAUGUGUGGCUGCGGGCGACAGACCGGAUAUCCGGGGUCCUGGCCCAGAUAUCCGGUGUGUGGAGGUCAAAGAGCAGUAAAAACUAGGACAACGGGCCGGACAUCUGGGGACAAGCUCGGAUAUCCGGCGUGGAUUCAGGGCCCGGAUGUCCGGCUGAGGAGCUGGAUGUCAGGGCAGUGGACAGAAAAACCAGGCAAAGGAAAAUAUUUGUAAGGGGCCAACAAAUAUAAUUGAUAUAGACUCCGCUAAGGAGUUUUUAGAGAUUUAGGGGGUGAAAACCUGAGUAUUCUGAUACGUCCAUUUUGUAUCAUGCUUUUAUAUCAAUAUUUAUUGCAUUAUGGGCUGUUAUUACACAUUAUGUCACAAUACUUAUGCCUAUUCUCUCUUAUUUUACAAGGUUUACAUAAAGAGGGAGAAUGCCAGCAAGUGGGAUUCUGGCUGGAAAAGGAGCAAAUAUUAGAGACCUAUUCUGCACAACUCCAAAAGUCCUGAAACUUCAUGGAUGAUGUUUUCCAAAUAUAUAAACAAACAUUGAGCUCAAGAACUUUACCAAGGGGGCCACACCCUGUCCACGAGGGUGGGGGCGCGCCCUACCCCCCUGGGUGCGCCCCCCUACCUCGUGGGCCCCCUGGUGGCCCUCCGGUGACCAUUUUCUGCUAUAUGGGCUCUUUCGAUGGGAAAAAAAUCAUAAGCCAUCUUCUCGGACGAAACUCCGCUGCCACGAGGUGGAACCUUGGCGGAACCAAUCUAGGGUUCUGGCGGGGCUGUUCUGCCGGGGAAACUUCCCUCCCGGAGGGGGAAAUCAUCACCAUCGUCAUCACCAAUGCUCCUCUUAUCGGGAGAGGGCAAUCUCCACCAACAUCUUCAUCAGCACCAUCUCAUCUCCAAACUCUAGUUCAUCUCUUGUAUCCAAUUCUUGUCUCCAAGUUCGGGAUUAGUGCUAGUAGGUUGCUAGUAGUGUUAAUUACUCCUUGUAGUUGAUGCUAUUUGGCUUAAUUGGUGGAAGAUCAUAUGUUUAGAUCCUAUAUGCACAUUAAUACCCCUCUAAUUAUGAACAUGUUUAUGAUUUGUGAGUAGUUACUUUUGUUCUUGAGGACAUGGGAGAAGUCUUGCUAUUAGUAGUCAUGUGAAUUUGGUAUUCGUUCGAUAUUUUGAUGAGAUGUAUGUUGUCUCUCCUCUAGUGGUGUUAUGUGAACGUCGACUACAUGACACUUCACCAUUGUUUGGGCUUAGAGGAAGGCAUUGGGAAGUAAUAAGUAGAUGAUGGGUUGCUAGAGUGACAGAAGCUUAAACCCUAGUUUAUGUGUUGCUUUAUAAGGGGCUGAUUUGGAUCCAUAUGUUUCAUGCUAUGGUUAGGUUUACCUUAAUACUUUUGUUGUAUUUGCGUAUGCUUGCAAUAGAGGUUAAUCAUAAGUGGGAUGUAUGUCCAAGUAAGGGCAGCACCCAAGCACCGGUCCACCCACAUACCAAAUUAUCAAAGUACCGAACGUGAAUCAUAUGAGCAUGAUGAAAACUAGCUUGACGAUAUUCCCAUGUGUCCUCGGGAGCGCUUUACAUCAUAUAAGAGUUUGUCCAGGCUUGUCCUUUGCUACAAAAAGGAUUGGGCCACCUUCCUGCACUUUAUUUACUUUUGUUACUUGUUGCUCGUUACAAAUUAUCCUAUCACAAAACUAUCUGUUACCACUUAUUUCAGUACUUGCAGAGAAUACCUUGCUGGAAACCGCUUAUCAUUUCCUUCUGCUCCUCGUUGGGUUCGACACUCUUACUUAUCAAAAGUACUACUAUAAAUCCCCUAUACUUGUGGGUCAUCAAGACUCUUUUCUGGCGCCGUUGCCGGGGAGUGAAGCGCCUUUGGUAGGUGGAAUUUGGUAAGGAAAAAUUUAUAUAGUGUGCUGAAAUUUACGGUCACUUGUUACUAUGGAAAGUAAACCUCUGAGGGUCUUGUUCGGGGUAUCUUCACCCCGACGAGUAGAGCAAAGAGUUGCUCCUCAACCUACUGAACCUACUGAAAAUGAAAAUGCUUGCUUCGAAAUUCCUUUGGGUGUGGUAGAAAAACUUCUAGCUAAUCCUUUUUUGGGAGAUGGAAUAAAACAUCCUGAUGAGCAUCUAAUAUAUGUGGAUGAAGUUUGUGGAUUAUUUAAGCUUGCAGGUGUACCCGGAGAUGUUGUUAAGAAGAAGGUCUUCCCUUUAUCUUUGAGGGGAGAUGCGUUGACAUGGUACAUGCUAUGUGAUGAUAUGGAGUCUUGGAAUUACAAACGAUUGAAAUUGGAAUUUCAUCAAAAGUUUUAUCCUAUGCAUCUUGUUCAUCAUGAUUGCAAUUAUAUAUAUAAUUUUUGGCCUCGCGAAGGAGAAAGCAUCGCUCAAGCUUGGGGGAGUCUUAAAUCAAUGUUAUAUUCAUGCCCCAAUCAUGAGCUCUCAAGAGAAAUGAUUAUUCAAAAAUUUUAUGCUCGGCUUUCUGAUAACAAUCACACCAUGCUUGAUACUUCUUGUGCUGGCUCUUUUAUGAUGAAGACUAUUGAAUUCAAAUGGGAUUUAUUGGAAAUAAUUAAACGCAACUCCGAAUAUUGGGACCUCGACAAUGCUAAGGAGUCAGGUAUGACACCUAGUUUUGAUUGUGUUAAAUCUUUUAUGGAUACCGAUAUUUUUCGUAAAUUUAGCACUAAAUAUGGACUUGACUCUGAGAUAGUAGCUUCUUUCUGUGAAUCUUUUGCUGCUUAUGUUGAUCUCCCCAAGGAAAAGUGGUUUAAAUAUCAUCCUCCCAUAGAAGUAAAAGUAGUUGUACCUAUUAAAGUUGAAGAAAAGACUAUCACUUAUAAUGAUCCUAUUGUUCCUACUUCUUAUGUUGAGAAACCACCUUUCCCUGUUAGGAUAAAGGACCAUGCUAUGGCUUCAACUGUGGUUUGUAAAAGAAAUAUUAAAACAUAUACACCUCCUGAGAAAGUUAAAGUUGAACCUAGUAUUACUAUUGUUAAAGAUCUCUUGUCUGAUAAUAUAGAUGGGCAUGUUAUUUAUUUCUGUGAUGAAACUGCUAGAAUUGCUAAACCCCGUGAUAUAGAUAAACCUAGGCCUAUUGUAGGUAUGCCUAUUAUUUCUGUUAAAAUAGGCGAUCAUUGUUAUCAUGGCUUAUGUGAUAUGGGUGCUAGUUCUAGUGCAAUACCUAUUGACUUAUACAAAUAAAUUAUGCAUGACAUUGCACCUGUUGAGUUAGAAGAUAUUGAUGUCACAAUUAAACUUGCUAAUAGAGAUACUAUUUCACCAGUGGGAAUUGUUAGAGAUGUUGAAGUCUUGUGUGGGAAAACUAAAUAUCCUGCUGAUUUUCUUGUUCUUGGUUCCCCACAAGAUAGCUUCUGUCCCAUUAUAUUUGGUAGACCCUUCUUAAAUACUGUUAAUGAUACCAUAGAUUGCAAAAGGGAUGUUGUUACUGUCAGUUUAGAUGAUAUGACUCAUGAAUUUAAUUUUUCUAAAUUUAGUAGACAACACCGUGAAGAAGAAUUACCUAGUAAAUAUGAAAUUAUUGGUCUUGCUUCUAUUGCCAUACCUCCUAGUGAUCCUUUUGAACAAUAUUUGCUAGACCAUGAAAAUGAUAUGUUUAUGAAAGAAAGAAGGGAAUUAGAUGAAGUAUUCUUUAAACAGGAACCUAUUCUGAAACACAAUUUACCUAUUGAAAUCCUAGGGGAUCCUCCUCCACCCAAGGGUGAUCCCGUGUUUGAGCUUAAACUGUUAUCGGAUACUCUUAAAUAUGCUUAUCUUGAUGAGAAAAAGAUAUAUCUUGUUAUUAUUAGUGCUAACCUUUCAGAACAUGAAGAAGAGAGAUUAUUGAAAAUUCUGAAGAAGCACUAUGCUGCUAUUGGGUAUACUCUUGAUGAUCUUAAGGGCAUUAGUCCCACUCUAUGCCAACAUAAAAUUAAUUUGGAAGAAGAUGCUAAACCAAUUCGUGAUCAUCAACGCCGACUGAAUCCUAAAAUGAAAGAAGUGGUAAGAAAGGAGAUACUAAAGCUCCUUGAGGCAGGUAUAAUUUACCCCGUUGCUAAUAGUCAGUGGGUAAGUCCUGUCCAUUGUGUCCCUAAGAAGGGAGGUAUUACUGUUGUUCCUAAUGAUAAAGAUGAAUUGAUUCCUCAAAGAAUUAUUACUGGUUAUAGGAUGGUAAUUGAUUUCCGCAAAUUAAAUAAGGCUACUAAAAAGGAUCAUUACCCCUUACCUUUUAUCAAUCAAAUGCUAGAAAGAUUAUCCAAACAUACACAUUUUGCUUUCUAGAUGGUUAUUCUGGUUUCUCUCAAAUACAUGUGCCAGCCAAAGAUCAACCAAAGACUACUUUUACAUGCCCUUUUGGUACUUUUUCUUAUAGACGUAUGCCUUUUGGUUUAUGUAAUGCACCUGCUACCUUUCAAAGAUGCAUGAUGGUUAUAUUCUCAGACUUCUGUGAAAAGAUUUGUGAGGUUUUCAUGGAUGACUUUUCCGUCUAUGGAUCUUCUUUUGAUGAUUGCUUGAGCAACCUUGAUCGAGUUUUGUAGAGAUAUGAAGAAACUAAUCUUGUCCUGAAUUGGGAAAAGUGCCACUUUAUGGUUAAUGAAGGUAUUGUCUUGGGGCAUAAAGUUUCUGAAAGAGGUAUUGAAGUUGAUAAAGCCAAGGUUGAUACUAUUGAAAAGAUGCCAUGUCCCAAGGACAUCAAAGGUAUAAGAAGUUUCCUUGGUCAUGCCAGUUUUUAUAGGAGGUUCAAUAAGGACUUCUCAAAAAUCUCUCGGCCUCUGACUAAUUUAUUACAAAAAGAUAUAUCAUUUGUCUUUGAUGAUGAUUAUGUAGAAGCAUUUGAAAUAAUUAAGAAAGCAUUAAUCUCUGCACCUAUUGUUCAGCCACCUGAUUGGAAUUUACCCUUUGAAAUUAUGUGAGAUGCUAGUGAUUAUGCCGUAGGUGCUGUUCUAGGACAAAGAGUUGAUAAGAAACUAAAUGUUAUUCAAUAUGCUAGUAAAACUCUAGACAAUGCUCAAAGAAAUUAUGCUACUAUUGAAAAACAAUUCUUAGCAGUUGUAUUUGCUUGUGAUAAGUUUAGACCUUAUAUUGUUGAUUCUAAAGUAACUAUUCACACUGAUCAUGCUGCUAUUAAAUAUCGUAUGGAAAAGAAAGAUGCUAAACCUAGACUUAUUAGAUGGGUUCUCUUGCUUCAAGAAUUUGAUUUACAUAUUGUUGAUAGAAAAGGAGCCGAGAACCCCGUUGCAGACAACUUGUCUAGGUUAGAAAAUGUGCUUGAUGACCCACUACCUAUUGAUGAUAGCUUUCCUGAUGAGCAACUAAAUGUCAUAAAUGCUUCUCAUACUGCUCCAUGGUAUGCUGAUUAUGCUAAUUACAUUGUUGCUAAGUUUAUACUACCUAGUUUCACAUACCAGCAAAAGAAAAAGUUCUUCUAUGAUUUGAGGCAUUACUUUUGGGAUGACCCACAUCUUUAUAAAGAAGGAGUAGUAUUAGACGUUGUGUACCUGAGCAUGAACAGGAAUAGAUCAUACGCAAGUGUCACUUCGAAGCUUAUGGAGAGCACCAUGCUGGAGAUAGAACUGCAUAUAAGGUACUACAAUCUGGUUUUUAUUGGCCUACUCUCUUCAAGGAUGCAUGUAAGUUUGUCUUAUCUUGUGAUGAAUGUCAAAGAAUUGGUAAUAUUAGUAGACGUCAAGAAAUGCCUAUGCAUUAUUCACUUGUUAUUGAACCAUUUGAUGUUUGGGGCUUUGAAUAUAUGGGACCUUUUCCUUCCUCUAAUGGUUAUACAUAUAUUUUAGUUGCUGUUGAUUACGUUACUAAGUGGGUAGAAGCUAUUCCAACUAGUAGUGCUGAUCAUAACACUUUUAUUAAAAUGCUUAAAGAAGUUAUCUUUCCAAGGUUUGGAGUCCUUAGAUAUUUAAUGACUGAUGGUGGUUCACAUUUUAUUCAUGAUGCUUUCCGUAAAAUGCUUGCUAAAUAUGAUGUUAAUCGAUCAUAGAAUUGCAUCCCCUUGUCACCCUCAGUCUAGUGGGCAAGUAGAAUUGAGUAAUAGAGAACUUAAAUUAAUUUUGCAAAAGACUGUUAAUAUGUCUAGAAAGAAUUGGUCCAAGAAACUUGAUGAUGCAUUAUGGGCCUAUAGAACUGCAUAUAAAAAUCCUAUGGGUAUGUCUCCGUAUAAAAUGGCCUAUGGAAAAGCAUGUCACUUACCUCUUGAACUAGAACACAAGGCUUAUUGGGCUAUUAAGGAACUUAAUUAUGAUUUUAAACUUGCCGGUGAGAAGAGGUUAUUUGAUAUUAGCUCACUUGAUGAAUGGAGAACCCAAGCCUACGAAAAUGCCAAGUUGUUUAAAGAGAAAGUCAAAAGGUGGCAUGAUAAAAGAAUACAAAAGCGUGAGUUUAAUGUAGGUGAUUAUGUAUUGCUACACAACUCUCGUUUAAGAUUUUUUGCAGGAAAACUUCUCUCUAAAUGGGAAGGUCCCUACGUUAUCGAGGAGGUCUACCGUUCUGGUGCCAUAAAAAUCAACAACUUCAAAGGCACAAAUCCGAAGGUGGUAAAUGGUCAAAGAAUCAAACAUUAUAUCUCAGGUAAUCCCAUAAAUGUUGAAACCAAUGUUAUUGAAACUGUAACCCCGGAGGAAUACAUAAGGGACACUUUCCGGAAUGUUUCAGACUCCGAAAAGGAAUAGGUAUGUGGUACGGUAAGUAAACAGACUCCAAAAUAGUUUUUAAGGCAAUAUUUCUCUGUUUUGGAAUAUUUAGAAAAAUAGAAAAAUAAGCAGCAGUCCAGAAAGGACACGAGGGCUCCACGAGGGUGGAGGGCGCGCCCUACCCCCGUGGGCGCACCCCCUGCCUCGUGGGCACCUCGUGUGCUCUCCGGACUCCGUUUUCUUACCGGAAAUGUAUUUUGGUUGGUAAAAAUUCAUUAUAUAACCUCCUGGGGGUUUUGACUCCCGUAUCACGCAAAAAUCUCUUGUCUUUGUUUCGAGCUAUUUUUCUGACAGAUCUAAAUUAUCAUGACAUCUCCAAGUGCACCCAAGGACAAGUUCUUCGAGAUGGUCAUCAACCCUUACCUCGCGGAGGUGUAGCGACACCCUCAAACCAUUGAGAUGCGUGAUGGGUUGCUGCACAUCCGUGAUGCGGAGGGACCGAAGGGGACCGGAAGCGUGGAGACGAGGCUCGAAGCAAUAGAGCAACAAGUUUUUAAGUGUCAGGGGAUGUUGGAGCGUGGACUCAACUCCAACUACAUGAUGAUCGCAGAGUUCACCAACAAACACAAGCUGGAUGCCGACAACAUCGGGGAGACCAUCUUCAAGCUUCACGAGAAAAUUGAGCACCUUCAAGCUCAAAUCUAUGACCUGCAAAACCAAAACUGUGAGUAUGAAUAUAGAUUCAAAAGGAUGAGUUUGGCUACAGAUUUGAGGAUCCCGGAGACUCGGUCAUCUUUCUAUGAUGGUGAGCCUAUGCCUUGGAAGAAGGACGACAAGCCUACGCCAUCAACAAAAUCACCACCAUCUCCACCAACAAAGAAGAAUUGAGUACCUGGUAUGGGCACUCCACUUGGCAACUGCCAAGCUUGGGGGAGUGCUCCGGUAUCGUAUUACCAUCACUUUUAUCUUUACCGUUUUUCUUAGUUCGAUCCUUUUGGUAAUAUUUUGAUCUAGUAGAAUAAAAGUUCUUAGUAUGAUCUAGUCGUGAGUUUUUCUUUAUUAUCCUUCUAUGUAAUCGAGUCCGUGAGCUAUAUAAUAAAUAUUAGUGUUGAGUCAAGGGCUUGAUUAUUUUGCCAUGAUCGUAAGUGAAUAAAAGAAAAGAGAAAGAAAUAAAAAGAAACAAAGAGAUCAUAUGACUCUUAUGGAGAGUAAUGAUCUCACAUAGAAAGAGUAUGAUGAAUAAAAGUUAUUGAGGGUUGACAAACAUAGUUUUGGUCAUCGUUGCAAUUAAUAGGAAGUAAUAAAGAAAGAGAGGUCUUCACAUAUAAAUAUACUAUCUUGGACAUCUUUUAUGAUUGUGAGCACUCAUUAAAAUAUGACAUGCUAAAGAGUUGACAUUGGACAAGGAAGACAACGUAAUGGGUUGUGUUUUCUUACAUCUGAGAUAAAUUAUAUUGUCUUGGAUCCUCCAACAUGUUGAGCUUGCCUUUCUCCCUCAUGCUAGCCAAAUUCAUUGCACCAAGUAGAGAUACUACUUGUGCUUCCAAAUACCCUUAAACCAGUUUUUCCAUGAGAGUCCACUAUACCUACCUUUGGAUUGAGUAAGAUCCAUCAAGUAAGUUGUCAUCGGUGCAAGCAAUAAAAAUAUUGCUCUCUAAAUAUGUAUGAUUGAUUGGUGUGGAAGAAAUAAGCUUUAUACGAUUGUGUGAUAUGGAAGUAAUAAAAGCGACAGACUGCAUAAUAAAGGUCCAUAUCACAAGUGGCAAUAUAAAGUGAUGUUCUUUCACAAUAGGAUUUUGUGCAUCCAACCAUAAAAGCGCAUGACAACCUCUGCUUCCCUCUGCGAAGGGCCUAUCUUUUACUUUUAUCUCCUACAUUGCAUAAGAGUCAUGGUGAUCUUCACCCUUCCUUUUUACAUUUUAUCCUUUGGCAAGCACAAUAUGUUGGAAAGGUCCUGGUAUAUAUGGCUAAUUGGAUGUGGGUUUUCAUGAACUAUUACUGUUGACAUUACCCUUGAGGUAAAACGUUGGGAGGCAAAAACUAUAAGACCCUAUCUUUCUCUGUGUCUGAUUAAAACUCCAUACCCAUAAGUAUUGUGUGAGUGUCAGCAAUUGUGAAAGAUUAUAUGAUAUUUGAGUAUGUGGACUUGCUGAAAAGCUCUUAUACAUUGACUCUUUCCUAUGUUAUGAUAAAUUGCAAUUGCUUCAAUGACUGAGAUUAUAAUUUGUUAGUUUUCAAUGAAGUUUACGAUUCAUACUUGAUAUUGUGACUGAAUUAUUACUCUAGCAUAAGAAAUCAUAUGACAAGAAUUAUAUAAGUUGCUGUUCUAAGAAUGAUCAUGAUGCCCUCAUGUCCGUAUUUUAUUUUUAACGACACCUUCAUCUCUAGACAUGUGGACAUAUUUUUCGAUUUCGGCUUUUCGCUUGAGGACAAGCGAGGUCUAAGCUUGGGGGAGUUGAUACGUCCAUUUUGCAUCAUGCUUUUAUAUCAAUAUUUAUUGUAUUAUGGGCUGUUAUUACACAUUAUGUCACAAUAAUUAUGCCUAUUCUCUCUUAUUUUACAAGGUUUACAUAAAGAGGGAGAAUGCCGGCAGCUGGGAUUCUGGCUGGAAAAGGAGCAAAUAUUAGAGACCUAUUCUGCACAGCUCCAAAAGUCAUGAAACUUCACGGAUGAUGUUUUCCAAAUAUAUAAAAAAACAUUGAGCUCAAGAACUUCACCAGGGGGGCCACACCCUGCCCACGAGGGUGGGGGCGCGCUCUACCCCCUGGGCGCGCCCCCUACCUCGUGGGCCCCCUCGUGGCCCUCCGGUGACCAUCUUCUGCUAUAUGGACUCUUUCGAUGGGGAAAAAUCAUAAGCCAUCUUCUCGGACGAAACUCCACCGCCACGAGGUGGAACCUUGGCGGAACCAAUCUAGGGUUCUGGCGGGGCUGUUCUGCCGGGGAAACUUCCCUCCCGGAGGGGGAAAUCAUCACCAUUGUCGUCACCAAUGCUCCUCUCAUCGGGAGAGGGAAAUCUCCAUCAACAUCUUCAUCAGCACCAUCUCAUCUCAAAACCCUAGUUCAUCUCUUGUAUCCAAUUCUUGUCUCUAAGUCCGGGAUUAGUGCUAGUAGGUUGCUAGUAGUGUUAAUUACUCCUUGUAGUUGAUGCUAGUUGGUUUAGUUGGUGGAAGAUCAUAUGUUCAGAUCCUAUAUGCACAUUAAUACCCCUCUAAUUAUGAACAUGUUUAUGAUUUGUGAGUAGUUACUUUUGUUCUUGAGGACAUGGGAGAAGUCUUGCUAUUAGUAGUCAUGUGAAUUUGGUAUUCGUUCGAUAUUUUGAUGAGAUGUAUGUUGUCUCUCCUCUAGUGGUGUUAUGUGAACGUCGACUACAUGACACUUCACCAUUGUUUGGGCCUAGAGGAAGGCAUUGGGGAGUAAUAAGUAGAUGAUGCGUUGCUAGAGUGGCAGAAGCUUAAACCCUAGUUUAUGUGUUGCUUCGUAAGGGGCUGAUUUGGAUCCAUAUGUUUCAUGCUAUGGUUAGGUUUACCUUAAUACUUUUGUUGUAUUUGCGGAUGCUUGAAAUAGAGGUUAAUCAUAAGUGGGAUGUUUGUCCAAGUAAGGGCAGCACCCAAGCACCGGUCCAGCCACAUACCAAAUUAUCAAAGUACCGAACGCGAAUCAUAUGAGCAUUGUGGCGCCCCCGAUUCAAUCGUACACUAAUCAUACACGCAAAUGUGUACGAUCAAGAUCAGGGACUCACGGGAAGAUAUCACAACACAACUCUACAAAUAAAAUAAGUCAUACAAGCAUCAUAUUACAAGCCAGGGGCCUCGAAGGCUCGAAUACAAGAGCUCGAUCAUAGACGAGUCAGCGGAAGCAACAAUAUCUGAGUACAGACAUAAGUUAAACAAGUUUGCCUUAAGAAGGCUAGCACAAACUGGGAUACAGAUCGAAAGAGGCGCAGGCCUCCUGCAUGGGAUCCUCCUAAACUACUCCUGGUCGUCGUCAGCAGACUGCACGUAGUAGUAGGCACCUCCCGAGUAGUAGUAGUCGUCAUCGACAAUGGCGUCUGGCUCCUAGACUCCAUCGUCUGGUCGCAGCAAUGGGGUAUAGGAAGGGGUAAAAGGGGGAGCAAAGCAACCAUGAGUACGCAUCCAAAGUACUCGCAAGCAAGGAGCUACACUACAUAUGUAUGCAUUGGUAUCAAAUGGAAUAAGGGUAUCAUAUGUGGACUGAACUGCAGAAUGGUGGAAUAAGAGGGGGAUAGCUAGUCCUGUCGAAGACUAUGCUUCUGGUAACUUCCAUCUUGCAGCAGAAGAAGAGAGUAGACGGUAAGUUCACCAAGUAGCAUCGUGUAGCAUAAUCCUACCCGGCGGUCCUCUCCUCGUCGCCCUAUUAGAGGGCGACCAUCGGGUUAUAUCUUGCACUUGGAAGGGUGUGUUUUAUUAAGUAUCCGGUUCUAGUUGACAUAAGGUCAAGGUACAACUCCAAGUCGUCCUGUUACCGAAGAUCACGGCUAUUCGAAUAGAUUAACUUCCCUGCAGGGGUGCACCACAUUUCCCAACACGCUCGAUCCCCUUUGUCCGAACACACUUUUCUGGGUCAUGCCCGACCUAGGAAGAUCAACACAUCGCAGCCCUACCUAGGCACAACAGAGAGGUCAGCACGCCGGUCUAGAUCCUAUGGCGCAGGGGUCUGGGCCCAUCGCCCUUUGCACACCUGCAUGUUGCGAACGCGGCCGGAAGCAGAACUAGCCCCCUUAAUACAAGAGCAGGCUUACGGUCCAAUCCGGCGUGCGCCGCUCAGUCACUGACGUCACGAAGGAUUCGGCUGAUACCACGACGUCGAGUGCCCAUAACUGUCCCCGCGUAGAUGGUUAGUGCAUAUAGGCUAGUAGCCAGACUCAGAUCAAAUACCAAGAUCUCAUUAAGCGUUUUAUCUUGAAGUAACCGCGAACUCCGACCAGGGCCAGGCCCACCUCUCUCCUAGGUUGUCUCAACCUGCCUUGUCGCUCUGCCUCAAAGUACCAGUCUGGGGCUAUCGGGAACUCAGGCUCACCACUACGUGGAUGGAGCCACCUGCCCCUUCAGCCCCCACAUCAGAAUCACUUGCGGGUACUCAACGAGCUGACCCGACUUUAGUCACCACCUGUAUAGCAUGUAUAUAUGUAUAAGUAUAUACCCAUGAUCACCUCCCUAGUGAUCACGGCCUGAUAGUAUAGCAUGCAGACGGACAAGAAUGUAGCGCCACUGAUGAUAAACUAGCAUCCUAUACUAAGCAUUAGGAUUGUAGGUAAAGGUAACAACAGUAGUAGCAAGGACAGGCUACGCAUCGGGAUAGGAUUAACGGAAGUAGUAACAUGCUACACCACUCUAAUGCAAGCAGUAUAGAGAAGAGUAGGUGAUAUCUGGCGAUCAAGGGGGGGCUUGCCUGGUUGCUCUGGCAAGAUAGAGGGGUCGUCAACUCCGUAGUCGUAUUGGGUAGCAGCGGUGUCGGUCUCGGUGUCUAGUGAGAUAAGAGGGGGAAGAAACAAUAAAUAUAAUGCAAACAAAUGCAUGACGAUGCAUGACAUGACAAAACGUGAUGCUAGGUGUGCCCUAACGCAGUACGAGGUGGUACCGGUGUAGGGGGAAAACAUCCGGGAAAGUAUUCCCGGUGUUUCGCGUUUUCGGACAGAUGAACCGGAGGGGGAAAGUUGCGUGUUCGCUAUGCUAGGAAUGCGUGGCGGACGAACGGGCUGCGUAUCCGGGUUCGUCUCGUCGUUCUGAGAAACUUUCAUGUACAAUGUUUUUUCAUCCGUGCUACGGUUUAUUUUAUAUGAUUUUCAAAGUUUUAAGCAAUAUUCUAAAAUUUACUAAAAUUACUUUAAUUAAUAAAAAAACAAAUAGGCAGAAAUGGCUUGGUGCACCCAGUGUAGUGCACCAGGGAUGCACUGUGUGGUUGUCAGGUGGGGCCAGUCAACUACUGACUCAGCAGUUGACUGGUCAAAGGUUGAAUGGUCAACGGGUCCAAUGGGACCUGCAUGUUAGUGACUAGAACCUACAACUAACAGUUUAAUUAUUUUAAACUAGCUAAUUAGUCAGUGGGGGCCACAUGUCAUAGAGUGCAACUAAAACUAAACCUAAACAUAAAGUUAAACUAACAGAGGGGCCUUGGCUUAAGUGGGGAUUAGUCCCCUAAUCUAAGCAAUGGCCAGUCUCAAAGGCCGGGCACGCAUGCGCCCUCACAGAGGAGGGCCGACGGCCAUGGCGGGAAGCCCCGACGGUGGGGCCCCCUCCACGGCGAGCGGGGCGGUUGGCGGCAGCGGGCGGCGAGGGCGCAUCAGCGGGCUGCGGCUCGCGUGCGGGUGACACCAUAGCGCGGGCGAAACACUGCGGCCGCAGCGGGACGGCCGAGCGAUAUGGGAGCUCCGGCGAGAGCGGGCGCGCGGCGGCAAGCGCGAGUGGUGCAGGAGCGUGGGUGACCGCAGGAGCAGAGCUCCAUGUCGAAGGUGAGGUCGAGGUGGUCGGGGACGGGCUGAAGAUGAGGCAAUCGACGAUGACGGCCGGUGAAGUACGUGGUGAAAAUGAGCUCGAUGGCAAGCCUACCGGGCGGCUCCACUCGAUUAGAUGCUCAGGAUGGACGAAGUCUAUGGCGGCGGUUCUCCCAGACACGGUCUCAGGGCUUGGCGAGGCCGGUGGCCGCGACGAUGACGAUGGCCAUGGCGGAUACAGCUCAGGAAGCCUCGAACAGACGAACGGGAGUGAGAGGAGGGAAGAAACAGGGCUAGGGUUACUAGGGGAGAGAGGGGGGACUCAGGGCUUGCUCUUAUACAUCUCCUCGACCGUGGGAUGAUCGACAGCGGCGCCACCAGCGACCAUGGUGGUUGGAUGUGUGCCACGACCUCUGUCUCGUACAGGGAAAAGGGAUGACCCCAUUGGGCUGGGCCAGUGCAUAGUAGCAGUUGGGCCAAAGUGAAAGAGAAACUUUUCUUAUUUCUGUUUUGUAUUUUCUCAUAUGUUUUGCAUUUUAUUUAAAUUCAAAAGAAAUUUUUUGCACAUGAAAAUUUUCACAUAAAUACCUUGCAAUGCUUUGGGAUCUAACCACAAAGUUUAGGGGCAUUUUGUAGUGCAUACAUAAUUCUUUAUUUUGAAAAGACCAAUUUAUUUGCUGUUGGAACACUUAUUAAUUUCCUAGGGAUUUAUCUAUGAGUCAAAUGAAGUUGGUUUCCACAUGAAAAUGAUCUCGGUAAUUUAUAGAACUAUUCGAACGUUUUAGUUUUAUAGUUCGAGGAAAAAUAAUUUGACUCGUCUUUUAAAAAUUGAAUUUAAUGUCGAUUUGGAACAAAGUGAAGAUUAGCAAAAUUUAAUUAUGAUGGCGUGGCACCAUUAACAUGAGUUUACUGUAGCAUGACACCCGCAGUCUUACAAAUCUCCUCCACUACAAGAAAUCUCGUCCCGAGAUUUAAGAGAUGGAGUAAGGGGGAAGUUCUAGUUACGAAAUUCUAACGGAUCUUCUCGGUCUUAUUUGCUCUUCUCAACGAGGUCGGUCCACCACGUUGAUGUCUUCAUUCCUCUGUUUCGAGCCAUUAUGAUGAAGUCGUCAUCCUGUCUUCGGAAACUCCAUCGUACUUACGAAAGAAAAAAAGGGGGAGCAUUCCGGGAGAACGGAACUCUACAAGGUGGCUAUCUUGGUUUAUAACUCAGGGAAUGUGGUAGAAAGUAACUCUCGAACGGAAACUUAGGACAAUAUCGAGAGCAAAGUAAGUAGGUACCAUGAGAAGUUUCGAGCGGGUAGGUAAUCAUUCGAUGCCUGAAACAAAGUGUGAAAGGGGUCUAGAGCAACGAGAAUAAGUAUUGCGUUUGAUACCAGAAUGGAUCACUUGGCAGGUGGCCCGUGAAUUACAUAAGAAGUCAAGCGCGAGAAUAACUUUGACAUCAGGGUGUACAAGAGAGUCAGGUUUCGGUCCUAGGACCUAUGGGUUAUGGGCCCACCAUGUGGGUUAAAAGUAGGAAGAGAGAGGACGUCUUGCACGAUCAUGUAAGCAAGGUAUGUCAGAGGAUAGCCUAUUAGUUAUGUCGGCAACAACAUCAGUACCAAGGGCGAGGGACUAAGAGAACCAUCUUCCUGCUCGUUUGAACGAGGCGAACCAAUAGGCAAAGUUAUCGUCCGUCGGUGGUUAGUAGAAUGUCAACAACAAUAGUAACAGGGUCUUACUGACAGAGUUGUACACUGAGGUGCUUAUAAAAGCAGUGGCAUAUUACUGCUUAGAUCGUAUAAACCUCAAGAAGGUUAAACAGAACAAUGGAAAGGAAAAUGUGAUUAUCAGAUUAAACAGAACAAUGGAAAGGAAAAUGUGUUUAAACACAUAUUUCAGGGGUAUAUCCUUCCCAAGAACAAGCAGAUUAUGAUAUCCAAGACCGGAUAGAAGGUAGAAAACCACUUAAGUAAGGGGGAGGAAGCUCAUGAUAUUACCCAUACAACGGUGUUUGGAUAAUUGAGCAGGAAACAUUUAGCAUUAGCUUCAAUGUUCUUGUUGAAAAUCGGAAUACCAUAGACAUGCUUCGAGAUAGCAUUGACAUGGUCAACAGGUGAAGAUUAGACUCUGGAGACACAAAGGAUCCAUCAGGAAUAACUUGAAGAAUAGGUCUUACAAUUCCCUCAUGGAAGAAGGGAUAACCCUGCUCAAAAGGAAUCUAUAACAACAAGUCCUCCAGCCAGGUGUGAUAGGCAUGACCUCACCUUACCGAUAUAUAAGGACCAAUGUAAUAUCUCUUGGAAAUAUGUCCCAACCAUGAUAUCUGACCUAGAUUCAGAUCUGAUGGUGUCAAAAUACCUCAAACUCAGGAGGCCUAAGAAGGAAAGGUGCAACAUAAAUUCAUGAGAUGACAAUGUAAAGUUCUCGGGAAAUAAUGUAUGAAAGCAAGGCUCCGAAACAAGAGUUCAUUAUUAAACCAAGGAGAGGAUGAGGAGGUGGUUGAUGGACUCAAUGAUAAUUCAACGAGGUAUCCAAAACGAUGGAUCUCCACAAUUAUGUGGAUAAGGAGAUAGCAUUUGUCAGAUCAAAUGAUAUAAUGAAGUGUGCUCGAGGAAAACAUACACAAUUAAACAUUGGUUGAAAGGUGCGCCCGAACUAUGGGUUGGGUUGCACGACCAAUGUCAGAAUGGUGAUUCAAUAAUCAAUAGUCUAAAAAUGAACGGCCGACCAUUAACUUCAAAGCAAUAGGGUUGCUAGAAGGAAAGAAUCCAAACAACAACCGUUCACUUGUUGGAAUCAAUACGGGGACCAAGAAAGAAUGGUGAUGGUGAGAAGUAUCACUAUACCAAGAAUUCUUAAGAGGUGGAGUAAUCCUCAUGACAUUCUUGACAUAAAAGAUGGGAAUACUCCAAGGUAAAGAAGAACAAAUGUUGGAUAGCAAGGAAUUCAAGGUAUAACACAAGACACGAACAAGUUUGUGUUGGAGGGAAGGCAAUAAAGUGGUCGAUGACAACACAAAUCAUCGAGGCAAGGAUGGUAUUUAUCAUCAUGAAUUCAAUUGAUAUCCUGGAAGAGCUCUAAAUGCUGAUGAUGAUCACGACACAUUUGUUGAGAGAUUUCAUGAAGAUGUAAUCGAUCGGUGAUAACAUCAGGUUAAAGGAAUGAUGAAGCGAAAGGUUAUUCGAAACAAGGGUACGACACAAACUCGAAAUUAAGCUUGUUGUUCAAGAACAAAUGAUAUGAUGAGGAAGAUCAAUGUAAGAUUAACUCACCGUCGAAAUUUGUGCUCCGGGAAGAAGGACCCGGUAGCACAGUUAAGAGCAGCACAAUAAUGAUAUAGCCGAUCAAGCUAGGAAUGACUUGAAGGAUUAUUUAAACUCGUAAGCAAUGAAAAUUAUUUAGGGUUGUUGAAUCAGAGUGCGGACUCGAUUCACUAUACGGUGUCCCUGAGUGUCUAACAACUCAGAACCCGGGGAAAAAUUGGAACCGGUGAGAAAUAAUACUUGAAGAAGAACUCAUAAGGGGUAAUAUGGUUCUAUGAUUUUAUCGAGAUACCACGGGGUAAUACUCGAAGGUAGAACAUAAUAGAGGUUGCAGAGGUGUAUUGAGCUACAAAAGACAAGUGCUUUAACUAGUCAGAGAAAUGGAAUCAAGGAGAAAAUAUGAUUGGAACCACGUUUGCAAAGGCUCAAUUCAUAGAUACCAAAUGGUAUUAUAUCAAGGGAAUAGUUAUUAUUACAAGAAGCUUCUAUGAUAGGAUAUACAUCGUGUCCAUGGGCAUGAACACAAAGUCCAAGGUUGACUCCCACUUCUUCAAUGUAUAACCUUCCAUUCACUUCACGUCUUCAAUGAAGUUAUGGAGUUGAAAAUUUAUCUAGCAAAACACCAGUAGAUAUAACCCGCAUAAACUUCGGGUUCGCACAGACUAAAGAAGGCAUAGGUUCAACCCCUAGGGGCAUCUUAGGAACAUAUACCACGAAUUUCAAGAACAAAUAACACAAGCUCGAUAGUAGAGCAUGCUUGAGAAAGCAGAGGAUACAAUUUACCAAAGGCAUCAUGUAUCCAAGGGAAGGCUCACAAGCUUAUUGAAUAUGAAGGACAUUGUUGGAUAAAAUCGAACGAAGGGUCUGGUGGUCCACAAGGGAUCCGAUGUGAGCAUCGGUACUCAACCAGAGGAAGAAAGAAGGCCAUGAGAUCAGAUUAUAGAAACAACUAACUAACUCAAAGCUCAAAUGCAAAGGAAUUAUGAAUUCCGAGACAAGGGAUCAGAAGCAAUGCUCUGAUUAGGGAUGGAUAAGUUGAAUAGCCUUAGGGGUACAAUCGAUGGCAAUUUGAUUGGUCGAGAUCCAGCUCAUGUUUAAAAUGACGUCUGAGCCUGAAGGACGAAAUGAAGGAUCUGAUUAAGGAUUGCGAGCAUUCACAACAUAUUGAUUCAACAAACUCAAAUUGAUAAUGACUAAGGAUGCCAAUAAGAUUACCUAACUUAUGGGAUUAACCAUAAUGCAAGCAAGCAAUAAUUUCAAGAGCAAUAGGUUGCUUAGGAUUUUUGGAAGAUCGAAUGGUAUUUCAAAGACUGUUGUGAAAUACAUGAAUCAACUGGGGAUGAGCGGAUACUCGGUAAGCGCGAGAAAUUAUCCAUAGGGGUAUUCAUGUGGCAAGGAACUGCAAGGCAGUAGGCACAAAGUAUUCUCGGAACAAUAAAGAGAAUUCUCGGGUAUCUUGUAAUAACAAGAUCAACGGGGAAUGAAUGUAAGAAUGGCAAGUGUACAUAGUUAUCCAUAGGUAUUUAUCGAUGGAAAGGAAUUGCAAAGGCGAUGGCAUAAAGUCUCGAGAGAACAUCAUAGAGUAUCUUCAAAAUCUUUUGGUGCAGCAAACGAUCGUCGGUAAUAAGGUGCUCUCCGGGUGAAAGUGAUCACGAGAUCCUAAGGUUAGAUUUAGCAAAAUUCAUUUAACCCAAAUAGAAGAGAGCUCAGAGUCUCAGAGUAUAGAUGAGGAAUAAAAGAUCGUAAUACCACCCAAAUGGCGACAUGGGCCCGUAAGGCACAUAGCCAUGUUAGUAAAAAGUUUUGCAACAUCUAGACUCGACUUCGGCCAAGGAGUGUGGAAGGGGGAUUCCUACAGGCAGUCGGCUCUAAUACCAACUUGUGGCGCCCCCGAUUCAAUCGUACACUAAUCAUACACGCAAACGUGUACGAUCAAGAUCAGGGACUCACGGGAAGAUAUCACAACACAACUCUACAAAUAAAAUAAGUCAUACAAGCAUCAUAUUACAAGCCAGGGGCCUCGAAGGCUCGAAUACAAGAGCUCGAUCAUAGACGAGUCAGUGGAAGCAACAAUAUCUGAGUAUAGACAUAAGUUAAACAAGUUUGCCUUAAGAAGGCUAGCACAAACUGGGAUACAGAUCGAAAGAGGCGCAAGCCUCCUGCCUGGGAUCCUCCUAAACUACUCCUAGUCGUCGUCAGCAGACUGCACAUAGUAGUAGGCACCUCCCGAGUAGUAGUAGUCGUCAUCGACAGUGGCGUCUGGCUCCUGGACUCCAUCGUCUGGUCACAGCAAUCGGGUAUAGGAAGGGGGAAAAGGGGGAGCAAAGAAACCGUGAGUACUCAUCCAAAGUACUCGCAAGCAAGGAGCUACACUACAUACAUAUGCAUUGGUAUCAAAUGGAAUAAGGGUAUCAUAUGUGGACUGAACUGCAGAAUGGUGGAAUAAGAGGGGGAUAGCUAGUCCUGUCGAAGACUACGCUUUUGGUAACCUCCAUCUUGCAGCAGAAGAAGAGAGUAGAUGGUAAGUUCACCAAGUAGCAUCGUGUAGCAUAAUCCUACCCGGUGGUCCUCUCCUCGUCGCCCUGUUAGAGAGCGACCACCGGGUUGUAUCUGGCACUUGGAAGGGUGUGUUUUAUUAAGUAUCCGGUUCUAGUUGUCAUAAGGUCAAGGUACAACUCCAAGUCGUCCUGUUACCGAAGAUCACGACUAUUCGAAUAGAUUAACUUCCCUGCAGGGGUGCACCACAUUUCCCAACACGCUCCAUCCCCUUUGUCCGGACACACUUUUCUGGGUCAUGCCCGGCCUCGGAAGAUCAACACAUCGCAGCCCUACCUAGGCACAACAGAGAGGUCAGCACGCCGGUCUAAAUCCUAUGGCGCAGGGGUCUGGGCCCAUCGCCCUUUGCACACCUGCACGUUGCGAACGUGGCCGGAAGCAGAACUAGCCCCCUUAAUACAAGAGCAGGCUUACGGUCCAAUCCGGCGCGCGCCGCUCAGUCGCUCAUGUCACGAAGGAUUCGGCUGAUACCACGACGUCGAGUGCCCAUAACUGUCCCCGUGUAGAUGGUUAGUGCGUAUAGGCCAGUAGCCAGACUCAGAUCAAAUACCAAGAUCUCGUUAAGCGUGUUAUCUUGAAGUAACCGCGAAUGCCGACCAGGGCCAGGCCCACCUCUCUCCUAGGUGGUCUCAACCUGCCCUGUCGCUCCGCCUCGAAGUAACAGUCGGGGUCCGUCGGGAACUCAGGCCCACCACUACCUGGAUGGAGCCACCUGCCCCUUCAGCCCCCACAUCAGAAUCACUUGCGGGUACUCAACGAGCUGACCCGACUUUAGUCACCACCUGUAUAGCAUGUAUAUAUGUAUAAGUAUAUACCCAUGAUCACCUCCCUAGUGAUCACGGCCCGAUAGUAUAGCAUGGCAGACGGACAAGAAUGUAGGGCCACUGAUGAUAAACUAGCAUCCUAUACUAAGCAUUAGGAUUGCAGGUAAAGGUAACAACAGUAGUAGCAAGGACAGGUUAUGCAUCAGGAUAGGAUUAACGGAAGCAGUAACAUGCUACACUACUCUAAUGCAAGCAGUAUAGAGAAGAGUAGGCGAUAUNNNNNNNNNNNNNNNNNNNNNNNNNNNNNNNNNNNNNNNNNNNNNNNNNNNNNNNNNNNNNNNNNNNNNNNNNNNNNNNNNNNNNNNNNNNNNNNNNNNNNNNNNNNNNNNNNNNNNNNNNNNNNNNNNNNNNNNNNNNNNNNNNNNNNNNNNNNNNNNNNNNNNNNNNNNNNNNNNNNNNNNNNNNNNNNNNNNNNNNNNNNNNNNNNNNNNNNNNNNCUUGCCUGGUUGCUCUGGCAAGAUAGGGGGUCGUCAACACCGUAGUCGUACUGGGUAGCAGCGGCGUCGGUCUCGGUGUCUAGCGAGAGAAGAGGGGGAAGAAACAAUAAAUAUAAUGCAAACAAAUGCAUGACGAUGCAUGACAUGACAAAACAUGAUGCUAGGUGUGCCCUAACACGGUACGAGGUGGUACCGGUGUAGGGGGAAAACAUCCCGAAAAGUAUUCUCGGUGUUUCGCGUUUUUGGACAGAUGAACCGGAGGGGAAAGUUGUGUGUUCGCUGUGCUAGGGAUGCGUGGCGGACGAACGGGCUGCGUAUCCGGGUUCGUCUCGUUGUUCUGAGAAACUUUCAUGUACAAUGUUUUUCAUCCGAGCUAUGGUUUAUUUUAUAUGAUUUUUCAAAGUUUUAAGCAAUAUUCUAAAAUUUACUAAAAUUACUUUAAUUAAUAAAAACAAAUAGGCAGAAAUGGCUGGGUGCACCCGGUGUAGUGCACCAGGGAUGCACUGUGUGGUUGUCAGGUGGGGCCAGACAACUACUGACUCAGCAGUUGACUGGUCAAAGGUUGAAUGGUCAACGGGUCCAAUGGGACCUGCAUGUCAGUGACUAGAACCUACAACUAACAGUUUAAUUAUUUUAAACUAGCUAAUUAGUCAGUGGGGGCCACAUGUCAUAGAGUGCAACUAAAACUAAACCUAAACAUAAAAUUAAACUAACAGAGGGGCCUUGGCUUAAGUGGGGAUUAGUCCCCUAAUCUAAACAAGGGCCAGUCUCAAAGGCCGGGCACGCAUGCGUCCUCACAGAGGAGGGCCGAUGGCCAUGGCGGGAAGCCCCGUCGGUGGGGGGGCCUCCACGGCGAGCAGGGCGGUUGGCGGCAGCGGGCGGCGAGGGCGCAUCAGCGGGUUGCGGCUCGCGUGCGGGCGACACCAUAGUGCGGGCGAAACGCUGCGGCCGCAGCGGGACGGCCGAGCGAUAGGGGAGCUCCGGCGAGAGCGGGCGCGCGGCAGCAAGCGCGAGUGGUGCAGGAGCAUGGGUGACCGCGGGAGCAGAGCUCCAUGUGCGGCGUCAGGGCAGGCGCCGGAUUCGGCGGGGAGGAGGCCUGGGCAUCACCGGGCGCGCGCCGGACGAGGGCAGCACUGAUGAGCGGGCGAGGGGUGCGCGCGGCAGAGGCGGGUGGUGCGGGCGCCCAGCAGCGGGGAGCGCGGGAUGACACGGUCAGGCGUGCGUUGGGGGCGGGGCACGACAGAGAGUCACGGUGGCCCCGACUAGGAGCAGCAGUAGCAGUACGCGGGGACGCGUGCGGACGCCGAGCUCGAGCGGCCAUGGCGGAAGGAGCUCAUGGGACGACCAAUACGGGCACGGAUCAAGCUCAAGAAAAAGGGCAAAUGGAGGAGGGGCUCACCGCGAAGACGAAGGUGAGGUCAAGGUGGUCGGGGACGGGCUGAAGACGAGGCAAUCGACGAUGACGGCCGGUGAAGUAUGUGGUGAAGAUGAGCUUGAUGGCAAGCCUACCGGGCGGCUCCACUCGAUUAGAUGCUCAGGAUGGACGAAGUCUAUGGCGGCGGUUCUCCCGGACGCGGUCUCAGGGCUUGGGGAGGCCGGUGGCCGCGACGAUGACGAUGGCCAUGGCGGAUACAACUCAGGAAGCCUCGACUAGACGAACGGGAGUGAGAGGAGGGAAGAAACAGGGCUAGGGUUACUAGGGGAGAGAGGGGGGACUCAGGGCUUGCUCUUAUACAUCUCCUCGACUGUGGGAUGAUCGACAGCGGCGCCACCGGCGGCCAUGGUGGUUGGAUGUGUGCCACGACCUCUGUCUUGUACAGGGAAAAGGGAUGACCCCCAUUGGGCUGGGCCAGUGCAUAGUAGCGGUUGGGCCAAAGUGAAAGAGAGACUUUCCUUAUUUCUGAUUUGUAUUUUAUCAUAUGUUUUGCAUUUUAUUUAAAUUCAAAAGAAUUUUUUUGCACAUGAAAAUUUUCACAUAAAUAACUUGCAAUGCUUUGGGAUCUAACCACAAAGUUUAGGGGCAUUUUGUAGUGCAUACACAAUUCUUUAUUUUGAAAAGACCAAUUUAUUUGCUGUUGGAACACUUAUUAAUUUCCUAGGGAUUUAUCUGUGAGUCAAAUGAAGUUGGUUUCCACAUGAAAAUGAUCUCGGGAAUUUAUAGAACUAUUCGAACAUUUUAGUUUUAUAGUUCGAGGGAAAAUAAUUUGACUCGUCUUUUAAAAUUUGAAUUUAAGGUCGAUUUGGAACAAAGUGAAGAUUAGCAAAAUUUAAUUAUGAUGACGUGGCACCAUUAACAUGAGUUUACUAUAGCAUGACACCCGGGGUGUUACAAGCGUGAUGAAAACUAGCUUGACGAUAUUCCCAUGUGUCCUCGGGAGUGCUUUACAUCAUAUAAGAGUUUGUCUAGGCUUGUCCUUUGCUACAAAAAGGACUGGGCCACCUUGCUGCACUUUAUUUACUUUUGUUACUUGUUGCUCGUUACAAAUUAUCCUAUCACAAAACUAUAUGUUACCACUUAUUUCAGUACUUGCAGAGAAUACCUUGCUGGAAACCGCUUAUCAUUUCCUUCUGCUCCUCGUUGGGUUCGACACUCUUACUUAUCGAAAGGACUACGAUAAAUCUCCUAUACUUGUGGGUCAUCAUAUUCUAAGUCCAUAAUAAGAUGUAAUAACAACCCAACAAUAUUAAGUAAAGAAUGUCCAUAUAAGCAAUUCACAAGCGGUGACCGAGGUCACCAUGUUUGAGCAUAUGGAACAUAGUGCCGCAAAGAUGAAGACUUUGGGCACAUAGUCACGACUCCAUCAUGUUAAAGCACCAUAGUUUGAGAACCAUGAUAACUUUCAGAGUGUUUGUUCUAUUUAUGCAUUAUGUAGGGUGAGAACACUCAUGAAUUGAAUGUCUCCCCCUAAAUAUAUGACUACAUCAAGACAAGACAUUAAGUUCAUGCAUGAAUGGGUACUAGAUUUCACAUAAUAUUGUCAAGCUCCAAGAUACCAAGUUCACGCCUAAGUUGACAAAACCUUGCUUCAUCCAAUGACUUGGUGAAAAUAUCUGCAAGUUGCAUAUCUGUGCCAACAUGAGCAAUGUCAAUAUCACCCUUCUCCACAUGAUCUCUCAAGAAGUGAUAGCUAAUAUCAAUGUGCUUGGUGCGGGUAUGAUCUUUGGGGUGCUCAGCAAUAUUGAUGGCACUUUCAUUAUCACAUAGAAGAGGCACAUGUCUAUAGGUGAUACCGUAAUCCUUCAAAGUUUGCCUCAUCCAUAGUAAUUGAGUUACACAACUGGCAGUUGCAAUGUAUUCAGCUUCUGCGGUGGAGAGGGCAACACAAUUUUGUUUCUUCAAUGACGAACUUACGAACGAGCAUCCACAAAACUGACAUGCGCCGGAGGUGGACUUACGAUCCACUUUGUCGCUAGCCCAAUCUGCACCCGUGUACCCAAUGAGAUCAAACUUAGCAUCCUUGGGGUACCAUAGACCCAACUUUGGGGUGUGAACAAGGUAUCUAAGAAUAUGCUUAACUGCCUUAUGAUGGCUUUCCCUAGGGGAAGCUUGAAAUCUAGCACACAUGCAUACACUAAACAUGAUGUCUGGUCUAGAUGCACAAAGAUAAAGCAAUGAACCAAUCAUAGAGCGGUAAAUGGAUGGGUCGAAAGGAAUACCAUUUGUGUCUUCAGUGAGUAAAAUUUUGGUUGGCAUGGGUGUCUUACAUGGACUAGCAUCAGACAUGCCAAACUUCUCUAGGAUAUCCUUGAGGUAUUUGGCUUGAGACAAGAAAAUUCCUUCUUGAAAUUGUUGAAUUUGAAAUCCGAGGAAGAACUUAAAAUCCGCAUUGAGUGACAUCUCAAAAUUCAUGGUCAUGGAAGCCGCAAACUUCUUGCAUAAAUGAAUGUUAGGAGAACCAAAAAUGAUAUCAUCUACAUAGAUUUCGCAUAAGAUCAAAUCACCCUUGUCCCUCUUAGUAAAAAGAGUGGGAUCGAUCACCCCUCUCACAACACCAUCAUCGAGUAAAAACUUCUUAAGAUGAUCAUACCAAGCACGAGGUGCUUGUUUGAGGUCAUACAAAGCCUUAUGAAGUUUAUGCACAUAGUCUUUGUGAUCGGGAUCAACGAAAUCGGGUGGUUGUGAUACAUAUACUUCUUCUUGUAGAGGACCGCUAAGGAAAGCACUCUUCACAUCCAUUUGAUGUAAUGUAAAACCAUUGAAAGCAGCCUAUGCAAGUAAGAUUUGAAUGGAUUCAAGACGGGCGACGGGGGCAAAGGUCUCACCAAAGUCCAAACCUUCAACUUGUGAGUACCCUUGUGCCACUAACCUUGCCUCGUUAUGGAUGAUUACACCAUUCUCAUCUUGCUUGUUCUUGAAAAUCCAUUUUGUUCCAAUGACAUUGUGGUCGGUAGUUGGCCUCUUGACUAAUGACGACACUUGGUUGCGUUCAAAACUGUUCAACUCUUCUUGCAUAGCAACGAGCCAAUCGUUGUCCACCAAUGCAUCUUGUACCUUGAGAGGCUCAACACUAGACACAAACGAGAAGUGAGCACAAAAUUUUGUCAAAUUUUUACGAGUGACUCUACCUUCCGAUAUGCCGGUGACAAUUUUGUCAAUAUCAACAUGAUCGGCCACACGAGGCAUGAUGGAGGUAAGAGUUUCACGAGGUUCAACUUCAUGUCCAUCAUCCACAUCCUCAACAUAUGGAUCAUUAAUGUGUGGUGGAAGAUCUUCUUCUUCAUCUUGCAUUUGUUGAGGUUCAUUGUCAAUGAUUGCACUUUCUUGUUCUUGCCCUUGAGGAUGAUCUUGUUCUUGAUGAUUAUCAUGAAGAGGAACUUGAUCAUCAUCUUGUACAUGGUCUACGGGCAUUGGUUGAGCAAUAGGAGCUUGUGGUGGUAAGGGUGUUGAAGUAGUUUGAUGAUGCGUGAAGCUUCCAUCUUCUUCUUCAUCAUCAUGAGGUUCUUGUUCCAUUGGAAGAAGUGCACCAACACCCAUGGUCAAGAUAUCUUGAGAAGAAUCUUCUUCACCUACAUCACUUAGGUCAACUUGCUCCCCAUGGGAGCGAUUAAAUUCAUCAAACACCGCGUCACAAGUUUCUACAACACAUCGAUUGGAUUUUUUGUAGACUCUAUAGGCGUGAGAGUUCGAUCCAUAACCAACAAAUAUGCCCUCGAUGGUUUUGGAUUGAAAUUUUCCUAACUAUUCUCUUUUGUUGAGGAUGAAACAUUUGCACCCAAAUACACAAAAGUACUUGACAUUCGUCUUGUUCCCAGUUAGGAGCUCAUAUGGAGUCUUUCCCAAUAAGUGCGAAGGAAGAGCCGGUUUGAUGCAUGGCAUGCGGUGUUGACAGCCUCGGCCCAAAAACUAUGUGGCGACUUGUAUUCAUCCAACAAGGAAAUUGCCAGCUCCACAAGUGUGCGGUCCUUCCUUUCUGCUACACCAUUUUGUUGGGGAGUGUAUGGAGCUGAAUAUUGAUGCUCAAUCCCUUCAUCACUAAGAAACUCUUCCAAGGUGUAGUUCUUGAACUCAGAGCCAUUACCACUUCUUAUUGCCAAGAUUUCUUUGUCAAACUUGCGUUGUGCUUGCUUGGAAAAAUCAAUGAAGGUGAUCUUCGUCUCGUCCUUGGACUUGAGGAAGAAGACCCAUGUAUAUCUUGAGUAAUCAUCUACAAUGACAAGCCCAUACUUUUUCCCACCAAGACUAUCCCAUGAAGGAGGCCCAAAAAGAUCCACAUGAAGGAGCUCCAAAGGCCUUGAAGUAGACACAAUAUUCUUGGGUGGGUGCUUUGAUUGAUGUUGCUUCCCGGCUAUGCAUGCACUACACACACGAUCUUUCUCAAAAGAGACAUUGGUUAGUCCAAGGAUGUGAUUACCCUUUAAGAGAUCUUGAAGAUUUCUCAUGCCGACAUGGGCUAGCCGGCGAUGCCAUAGCCACCCCUUGUCGGCCUUGGCCAUUAGACAAGUUUCAUGGAAUGUGCUCUCUUUCGAGAAAUCAACCAUGUAAAGGUUGCCAUCCAACUCUCCAACGAAGGCCACUUUGAGAGUAUCUCUCUUAAAUACUUUCACAUCCGUUAGUCCAAAGAGUGUAUCAUAACCAACAGAAGCCAAUUGGCGAAUAGGAAGCAAAUGGUACUUAAGGGAUUGGACAAGCAUGACAUUUGCAAGAGACAUGUCAUUUGUGAUAGCCACCUUGCCCAACCCGAGUACCUGUCCUUUUGAUUCUCCACCAAACAUAAUGCUCAUAAAUGGUUGAAUAGCUUCCAUGAAAUCGUAGAGCAAUUUUCUAUCUCCAGACAUAUGAUUGGUACAUCCACUAUCAAUUAACCAUUUUACUCCACCAGAGAAGGCAACCUACACACAAUUAUGACUUGGUUAGAGGCACCCACUUUGCAAUGGGACCUCUCAAGUUAGUCACAACGGUCUUAGGGAUCCAAAUAGCAUAAAACUGGAAUGCAUUUCGAGGACCAACAAACUUUGCAUAAACUUCUCCAUCCUUAGUCUUAUGAAGUACAUAGGAUGGAGGCAUGAACUCUUUUGGCUUGUUGAGAGUGGGCAUGCCCCUUGUGGCCUUCCCACUAACAACCUUACCUUUCUCCUUGUGCCCUUCUCGUACAAAAGUUUCUUUUAGAGGGGCGGUGCACUUUUGUGAGGACGUCUUCUUCUUGCUUGUGCUUGGGUCAAACCCGAAUCCCUCUUUGGCAAACACCUCAUUGUGUUGUCUCAAUACCUCAUUAAGGUUCUUUUGCUCUUGAGCACGUGUCAUGAGACCUUUCUCGAUUUGAGCCUUGAGAAAGCGAUUCUCCUCAAGAAUAGAUGCUAGAUCACUACUAGAGUUAGAAGUACAAGCAUCAACAUUGAUAAUAGGAGAAGAAUAAGCCUUGGCUAGAGUUUCAAUAUAAGUAUGCUUGAGCAUCUCAAAACCCUUUGUAAUAAGGGUGAGCUCUUCUUCCUUAGUCUUGAGGGACAUGGGUAGGAGCUCACAAUCCUUAGAGAGAGAAGCAUUAGACUUCACAAGCUUACUUUUAUCAUUCAUCAACUCUUCGCAUGAGUCAAUAGCCUUUUUCAAGGAGGCAAGAUCUUUAGUAUGAACAUCAAUGUUUGCACCAAUUUUUGAGCAUAGUUCAUCAUUUCAUGCUUCCUCAUAUUGGACUUUCCGCUCAAGGAUUUCAUAUUUUUCCUUUUCCUCGGUGACGAGGGUUUCGAGUUCCUUAAUGGUGAUGGUGUGCUUGCUCACAAUCUCCAUAAGCAUACGAAAUAUAGUGAGCUUCUUUCCUUUGAGGGAGCACAUGAACUUAUUUAGUUUAGCAAGCAUAGGAUCAUCUAUAUCAUCAUCCUCAUAAUUAUCCUCUGCAUCAAGAUACUCAUCACUAGGAUUAGGAGGAGUGAAAAGAGGAGGGUUUGAUCGUGGGGUUACCUUGACCUUGUCAAGAGAGCUUUGGUCCUCUCCAUCUUCAACCACGGCCUUUGCCAUUAGGCACUUGUGAGUGUUUCCCUUGUAGUCCUUCAUAUAGUUGUAGGUGACAACAUCACCACUUUUGUUGACUAGCCUCAACGUGUUUUGAGAAUCUUGAGCAACUCCGGAAACACCACUAACAUCAUCUAGAUCGGAUUCUUCAUGUGCAACCAUUGCUUUACGAUCCCUUUUUUUGAGCUUGGAGUUCAAAGGAUUUGGCAACUUAUUCUUGGGAAAGGUCUUGGGAAACCUUGGUUUAUCUUCUCUCUUCUCAUAAGGGAACUCGUUGGAGAAGUGGUUGGUUUGUUCAUAGUUGUAGCAUUUUCUCACUUUCUUCUUCUGGAAUCUUCCCUUGAACUUUCCCGUUCUAAACUUCUUGAAAAAGAGAGCAAUGUCUUCAUAUGACGGGCUCUCAUCUUAGUCAACCUCAUCACCUUCCUCCUCCUCCACAUCUUCUUCUUCACUUUGCUCUUCUUCGCAUACAUGCUUUGCCUUCAAUGCAAGAUUGAUCUUUGACGUUGAGGUACCAUGCAUGGCAAGAUGUUUCAUAGCAUUUGCCUUUGACUCAUCAAAUAAUUGGAAGGUGGAUAUGAUGUCAUCCAGAGUCAUUUCCUUAAAUCCAUGGUGUUGUCUUAUGUCCCACACCAUUUGAUAUGAUAUGGAGCAAGAGCAUGAAGCAACUUAUCCAUGAGAAAUUUCUUAGUCAAGUUGAAUCCAUCUUGUGCCUUGUCACAUUCACAUGACUCGAUGUCGGCGGUGAGAGUCAUGAGAUGCUCAAGAAGUUGCUUGGGAGGUUCACCUUUCUCCAUACAAAAUUCUUGCAAUUGACCCUUGGCAAUAUCAUAUUGCGCAAGCCAGAGAGUGGAGGUACCGGUCUUGGUUCUUCACAAUGCUAUCCCAUAAUUCCUUGGCACUUGUGAUAUGUAUGUAUGGUAUCUUUUGCUUGUCAGUCAUACUUAUUAUUAUGCACAUGGUUGUUGUGUCGUUGAGAUUCUUGUCAUAUACCUCUCUCUUGGCGUAAGAUUCUUCGGGUCAACAGCUUGGUAGCCAUACUCCAAGAUCUCCAACAUCUCAUCAUCUCCAUAUCGAAGAUGGUCCUACAUAGCAACUCCCCACAAAGCAAAAUUGGUAGUUUCAUCAAGUAAAGGAGGUUUGCCUUGAGGAUUAUACUUAGGUUUCUCUAUUUGAGGUCUUGCAUAAAGCCAAGGAACACUGGAGUGUUCAUUGCUAGGAGGUUGUUGGCCAAGUGAAGGAAUAGCACAGCUCGCCUCGAGGCCACACCACCAGAAGAUGGUGCAAGCAUCGAGGUUAGUGUGGCUUUCCUCAUUUGGACCAAGGCCUCAAGAGAGGCAUCAUGCUCCUCCUUUUGCUUAGAAAGAGCCAGAUCCUCUGAAGUGAAGGACUUGGCUUCCGUGGAAGCCGCGCCCGCAUUCUUUGGAUCUGCAACAAGGAGGGUCCCAUCAGGGUUCAUCUCGCUCUUGGGCAGUUAAGCCACAAGAAUAGAGCACGAGGCUCGGAUACCAAUUGAAAGGAUCGAGAUGGACCUAGAGGGGGUGAAUAGGUACAAUUACAAAUUUUAAUUAUUACUUAGCAAUUUUAGGCAAUAAUGCAGAAUAUGGAAGUGAGCCUAACAAUUGCAAGUGUGAUGCUAAGAGCUAAGCAAGAUAAACAAGUAACACAAGUAAGCAAGCACAAUAUGAUAUAAGUAAGAGCUAAGAGGCAAGUAACCACAAGUAGAGAGUUAGGAUUAGGAAUAACUCCAACUCCGGGAGAUGAGGAUGUAUGCCGAUGUUCACUUCCUUGGAGGGAAGCUACGUCACCGUUAGAGAGGUGGAUGUUACCAUGAAGGCACACCAACGCCACAAAGGCUCGACCUAUUCUCCCUUUGACACAACACCACAGAGGCAUUUCUCAACCACUAGUGAAAGACCUUGGGGUGGUCUCCAAACCCUCACAAACUUUUCUGGGGGUAAUCACAAUGGUCGAUUCCUCUCCGAAAGACUCCUACCGCCUAGGAGUCUCCAACCUCCAAGAGUAAUAAGAACGAUGGGAAAAGCUCAAGACUUACUCAAAUCACGAAUUCCUUUGGUGCAAAGAAGGGGAAGGAGUGGAUCUAUCACUUGAUCGGACAACUUCUCUCAAAUGCUCUCAAAUCCCUUAGGGAUCUAAGAUUUGGUGUGGAGGUAGUGAGAGAGAGAGUGAAAUGUGUUCUAGGGUUUUGCUCAAAGUGAAUGGUCAACCCACUCCCAUGGGGAAGAAGGGCUAUAUAUAGUGUGAGCACAAAUAUGGCCAUUGUAGUGCAAGUGAACGGGCAGACCGGACAUCCGGUCUAGGGGCCGAACAUCCAGCCUGGCAAGCCAGUCGAAGAACAAGGUAGAAACAGAGCAAAAAACAGAGGGGCCGGACAUCUGAGGGCCAGGCCCGGACAUCCGGCAAGUCAGGAAACCCCGGACAUCCGGCACAUGGCCGGACAUCCGACAAGUUUACCAAAUAAAAAACACACUCUGGAUAGCACAAGCCGGACGUCCAGCAGGCAAGCCCGGAAAUCCGAAGUGCACUAGGAGCCCAGACAUCCGACAUAGAGGGCCGGACAUCCGGCAAGCAGCACAACACAAAAGUGCUCUCUGGAUAGCUAGGCCAGGAUAUUCGGCGACCAGGCCGGAUAUCCAGCGUGAGGCCCGGACAUUCGGCUUGAAGCCCGGACAUCCGGUAUCCUAGAGACAAAAGCAUGAAGAUGGAGCAUGUGCAUAUAUGUCCAGGAGAUUUGUGGCAAGAGCAAGCCUUUAACUAACCCUAUCGAUCCCCUCUUAAUAGUGUGGGAUCCUAUACUCAAGAAAAUGAAUAUGUAAUCAAUUUUUAUGCUUCAUCCUUGAGUAAAAUCACUUUGUAUGCUCUUGAUCCACACACUUCGAUGAACCUGGGGCUAACACCUGAGAUUUACUUGACAACCAUUGUUAGACCCCUACAUGUAUAUUUUCAUCAACAUCAAAACAUGAUGUAAGGGCAUGAUUGCUCUUUCAACUGGGGAAUUUGAUGUAGAGGUGUGUCAAUUGGAGAACUGGGGUGAAGAUUUUCCCAAUAAUCAUCAUUCUGCACAGGAGUUGUAGAGCCAAUGUCCAAAUGCUCAUCAAUUUCUUUAACGCCCGCCUCUUCUGCAGUGAACUGAGGCAUGGGCGAUGAUACCAAUGGUGUGGAAAUAACACCUUCCACUUCAAUUUAUGCAUCCAACUGCUUUGAGGAAGUAGUAGAAGGAUUGUCUUCAUCAAUGCCAUCAUCAGGGAUGACAUAUUCUUCACCAAAUAGGACUAGUUCCUUUGAUGGUACCAUUGAAAUCGGAACAACAUCAAUUGGUUCUUCACGUCAAAGUCCUCACUUUCUUGGGAGCUGAGGACUCUGCAGAGGUUGAUACUUUCCUUUUCUUUGCGGCUUUCUUCUCUGCAGCCUUAGUUUUCUUCAAUUCUCAUGCAGAAGGAAGUUCAAUUUUUUCACCGUUGUAGAUUUUGCAGGAGGAGCAGAUGAAGUUGGUGCAUUUUCUUCAGGCACGACUGAUGCAGUCGCCCUGGAAUUCUCAGUUUCUUCAGACGCAUCAAAUUCUUUAGCUGGCAUGGGUUGUUCUUCAGGUGCAACAUUGGUGGUUUCCCUAGCAUUGUCUUCAGGAUCUGGAAUUUCUUUAGUAGCACUCAUAGCUUCUUUAGCAACCUGAUUUUCAUCAGCUGCGCUUUCAUUUUCUUCAGCAAGCUGAACAUAAGCUUCAGCCUGAGGAAUUUGUUGUUGCGAUGGUGUUGCAAUGUAUGCCUUGAGGUUCUUGGCAAUCUUGACAAAUUUGACCUUGGCACCAAGCCAAUCUACAUGAUAUCGAUCAAAUUCAUCACUGAGAUAUCUGAUUUCCUUCUGAACAGUGACAAGUUCUUCAGGAGUCAGUGUAAGAAUGUUGUUCCUUAGAAAUCUCUCCUUCUUUUAUUGGUCCUUCUUGACGCGCCUAGCCUUAUCAAAUUUCCAUUUCUCUUCGCCUAUGAAGGCACUGAGCAUGUGACUUUGACUAGGAGUGAGAUUCAGGUCAGGGAGUGCAGUGUUGGGAUCUUUGUGCCAUAUGUCAAUGAAAUCUAGGACCUUCUUCGGAUCCAACAUGAGAUGCACAUCACUGCCCCUUGACUCUUGCAGCCCUUUCUAGUCUGUCUUUGAUGAUUUCAGUCGGUUCUUCAUCAUCAGCUUCAUCGUCAUUAGAUAGAACAAGGAAUGCCACUUUCUUCUUAUGAGGACUUGGCCUCUUUCCACGUCUAGCAGUGGAGUUUACUUUCAGCAAAGAUGGACCACUUGAGAAUUGUGGUUGAGCUGAGGAAGUUGCAGAUGCCCCUAAAGCAAUUGAAAGACCAGCAAUCCGCUGACACAUUGCAAGGUGCAUGGAUGUUGAGGACUUUGUGGCAGCAGCUGAGGAUUUUGUAGCAACUGAGGGGAUCGGUGAUGCCCUUGAGGAAGUUUCCUGAGGAUUUUUCCCUGAGGGCUUUGCAGUUGAGGAACUUGGCUGUGAGGGCAUUGAACUUGAAGAUUUCUUCACAACAUACUUCUUCAGGAUGGCCUUCUUUGGCGCAGUUUUACGAGAAGAGGCCUGAUGCAGCUUGAACUACGUUGGUAUUUCCCCAAAGAGGAAGGGAUGAUGCAGCACAGCUAUGGUAGGUAUUUCCCUUAGUGAUGAGAUCAAGGUUAUCGAACCAGUAGGAGAACCACGCAACACUACGUGAAUGGUACCUGCAUGCAAAAGGGAAAUUUAUUUUGAAGAUUAGAGAUGGCACAUACAAAUUUGCUUAGAACAGCAAAAGAAUACCGCAUAUAGGUAGGUAUAGUGGACUCAUAUGGCAAAACUGGUUUAAGGAUUUUGGAUGCACAAGUAGUAAUCAUACUUGGUGCAAAUGAAGGCCAACAAAAGAUUGAGAAACAUCCAACUAAGAAAUGAAAAAUCUCACAAGCGAGCAUUAAGCAUAACUAAUACCGAAUAAUGCACCACAAGUAGGAUGUAAUUUCAUUGCAUAACUAUUUACUUUCGUGCUUGCAUAGGGAAUCACAAACCUUAACAUCAAUAUUCUUACUAAAGCAUAAUUACUCAUCAACAUGACUCACAUAUUAUAUCAUCAUAUCGCAAAACUAUUGCAAGGAAUCAAGUUUACUUUGUCCAAUGAUCUUUCAUGAAAGUUUUUAUUAUAUCCGUCCUGAAUAUCUAUCACUUUGGGACUAAUUUCAUAUGUUGCUUUUAAUAACUCAAAUAAAUCUAAGUGAAGAACAUGGGCAUAAAAUUUUCUUCUCUCAAAAUAAUUUAAGUGAAUCACGAGAGAAUUUCUUAAAAAGUUUUACUAACUCUCGAAUAUAUCUAAGUGAAGCAUGAGAGCAUUUCUCCAAAAACAGUAAAGCACACCGUGCUAAAAAAGAUAUAAGUGAAGCACCAGAGCAAUUCCAUAGCUCAAAAAGGUUUAAGUGAAGCAUAGAGAGCAAUUCUAACAUGUCAUGGCAUAAUUUUGGCUCUCUCAAAUAGGUGUGUUCAGCAAGAAUACUUGACUUAAACUAAAAAGUAAAACAAUCAAAGACUCAAAUAAUACAAGACGCUCCAAGCAAAACUCAUGAUAUGUGACGAAUAAAAAUAUAGCUCCAAGUAAAAUACCGAUGGUGGUUAGAAGAAAGAGGGGAUGCCACUCGGGCAUCCCCAAGCUUAGUUGCUUGCUUCUCUUUUAUAUAAUAGCUUGGUAUGUCAUGGGGCAUCCCCAAUCUUAGGCUCUUCUUACUCCUUAUUCCUUCAUCCAUCAUGAUCUCACCCAAAACUUGAAAACUUGAAUCACACAAAACUCAACAAAACCUUCGUGAAAUUCGUUAGUAUAACAAAGCAAAUCACUACUCUAAGUACUAUUGCAAACCCAUUCAUAUUUUAUUUUUGCAUUAUAUCUACUGCAUUCCAACUUUACUAUAGCUUAUACCCUCCAAUACAAACCAUAGAUUCAUCAAAAUAAGCACACAACGCAAAGAAAUCAGAAUCUGUCAAAAACAGAAUAGUCUGUAGCAAUCUGAAAACUUCGACUACUUCUGUGACUCCAAAAAUUCUGAAAAAUUAGAAAAACAUGGGAAAUUUGUAUAUAAAUCUUGUGUACAAAAAUCAGGAUUUUAACGCGCUUUUGCUAAGAAAUAAAAUUGUUUUACUGGACGCAAAUUUUUUCAUUUUUUCAACAAGAUCAAAUCAACUAUCACCCACAUGAUCCCAAAGGUUUUGCUUGGCACAAACACUUAUUAAAACAUAAAAACACAAUACAAUCAUAAAAGUAGUAUAAUUGUUCAAACACUCAAGAACAGAAAGGAAAAGACAAAAAUAAAAUUUAUUCAUUGGGUUGCCUCCCAACAAGCGUAUCGUUAUAGCCAUUAAGAUAGGCUUUGCGAUUUCAAUGAUGCUCACAUGAAAGAUAAUAAUUGAAACUCAAAGAGAGCAUCAUAAAACAUGUGACAAACACAUUUAAGUCUAACGUACUUCCUAUGCAUAGGAAUUUUAUAGGCAAACAAAUUAUCAAGACAAGAAAUAUCUAGCAUAUGCAUAGGAGAGAAAUAAAACAAUAACAAUCUCAACAUAACGAGAGGCGAUUUAGUAACAUGAAAAUGUCAACAACCAUAUUUCCCUCUCUCAUAAUAAUUACAUGUGGGAUAAUGAUCAAAUUCAAUAAUAUAGCUAUCACAUAACAAAUUCUCUACAUGAUCCACAUGCAUGCAAAGUUGACACUCUUCCAAAAUAGUGGGAUUAUCAUCAAAUAAAGUCAUGACCUCUCCAAGCCCAUUUUUAUCAGAAAUUUCAUAAGAUUGAACACUCUCGAAAUAUGUGUAAUUGUUUUUACCUAGAGUUGACACUCUUCUGAACCCACUUUUAAUAAUAUUGCAAACAUAUUCAUCAUGAGGCUUAAAUAAACUAUCAAGAUCAUAAGAAUCAUCAUCACCCCAAUCAUGAUCAUUGCAAUAAGUAGCGGACAUAACAAAACAAGCAUUCCCAAGCUUGGGGUUUUGCAUAUCACUAACAAAAUUGACAUUAAUAGAAUUUAUAAUAAUAUCAUCAUAAUCAUGCUUUCAAGUGUGGGUGCAAUAGCAAUAAUUUCAUGUUUAACAUAAGGAACUAUAGCAAGUUCAUCUCCAUAAGCAUCAUUAAUAUUGGCAUCAUGUCCACAAGAAUAGCAAGCAUCAUGUUCAUCAAGAGGGGGUAAUUCAAUCAAAUCACUGGAAUCAUAAUGAUCCAUAUCUUCCUGCAUAUCAUUAUUUUCUUCCAAAGCAGCUGACAUUCUCUCAAUAAAUUCUUUAACAUAGGCAUUAUGAGCAUAGUUUUCAUAGCAAUAUUUAAGCAUGUCAAAAAUUUCAGAUUUUUAGAGAGUAAUAUCAUACUAUUAAAUCAAAGAAGCAACUUCAUAAGCACCCUUAAAAGCAACAAAUUCUUCAAUUUGUUCGAUAUCAUAGUAACUAUAAAUCUCCUUGGCAUAAGAAGAUAAGAUUUCAUUGUCAUUAAAAUCACAUAGAUAGGGAGGUGUUUUUUAGGGUUCUUAGAGCAACAAGUAAAAUCACAAAUUUCACAAAGAUUCCAAGCAUAGCAUAGCAAACAAUUUAUUUGAUUCCAUAAGAGAUUCCCUUUUUAAAACGAUGACGCGCAAAAUGAGCAUGCUCAUCGAAUGAUUUUCCCUCAACUAAACUAGUUGGGGUUUCAGCACGAGCACAUAUGGAUCGAAGAUGAUCUAGGUAGAAAACUUUGAGUGGAUCCAUAACAAUAGAUUUUUAGCAAGCAAAGAUGAAAGCAAAAUAGAAGGAAACAUGGAAACACAAGCAAACAUAAGAUCGAACGAGAAAAAGGCGAACAAAAAGAAGGCAAAUAAAAUGGCAUUUUUUGUGAAGUGGGGAAGAUGAAAAUGAGAGGCAAAUGGAAAAUAAUGUAAAUUGCAAGGAGAUGAGAUUUGUGAUUAGGAACCUGAUAGAUGUUGGUGAUGUCUCCCCAGCAACGGCGCCAGAAAUUCCUUUUGAUGCGGCUUGAACUACGUCGGUAUUUCCCCAAAGAGGAAGGGAUGAUGCAGCACAGCUACGGUAGGUAUUUCCCUCAGUGAUGAGACCAGGGUUAUCGAACCAGUAGGAGAACCACGCAACACUAUGUGAACGGUACCUGCACACAAAGAACAAAUACUUGCAACCCGACGUAAAAGAGGGGUUGUCAAUCCCCCCGGGUAAAAAGAUAGAUAAAAUUCUAGUAGAUUGGAUAAAUAGAUCUCGCGGGAACGCGAGAUAAAAUAAAUAACAAAAAAUUGCAGCAAGGUAUUUUUGGAUUUUUGUAUUGAUAGAUCUGAAAAUAAAAACGAAUAAAAAUAUAUCUCGAAGGCAAAUAUGAUAAAGAAGAGACCCGGGGGCCGUAGAUUUCACUAGUGGCUUUUCUGGAGAAAAAUACCAUACAGCGGGUAAACAAAUUACUGUUGGGCAAUUGAUAGAACUUCAAAUAAUUAUGACAAUAUCCAGGAAAUGAUCAUUAUAUAGGCAUCAUGUCCAAGAUUAGUAGACCGACUCCUGUGUGCAUCUACUACUAUUACUCCACACAUCGACCGCUAUCCAACAUGCAUCUAGUGUAUUUAGUGCAUGGAAAAAUGGAGUAAUGCAAUAAGAAAGAUGACAUGAUGUAGAUAAGAUCUAUUCAUGUAAGAAUAGACCCCAUCUUUUUAUCCUUAAUAGCAAUGAUACAUACGUGUCAUUUCCCCUUCUAUCACUGGGAUUGAGCACCGUAAGAUCGAACCCAUCACAAAGCACCUCUUCCCAUGGCAAGAAAAAUUGAUCUAGUUGGCCUAACUAAACCAAAGAUUUGAAGAAGAAAUACGAGGCUAUAAGUAAUCAUGCAUAUAAGAGAUCAAGAGACUCACAUUACUUUCAUGGAUAAAAACAUAGAUCUGAUCAUAAACUCAAAGUUCAUCGGAUCCCAACAAACACACCGCAAAAAGAGUUACAUCAAAUAGAUCUCCAAGAGACCAUUGUAUUGAGGAUCAAAAGAGAGAGUGGAAGCCAUCUAGCUACUAACUACGGACCCGUAGGUCUACAAUGAACUACUCACGCAUCAUCGGAGAGGCACCAAUGAGGAUGAUGAACCCCUCCGUGAUGGUGUUUAGAUUGGAUCUGUGGUUUUUGGAACUUGCGGUGGCUGGAAUUGUGUUUCGUCGACUCCCCUGUGGUUUUUGGAAUAUUGGGGUAUUUAUAGAGCAAAGAGGUGGUGCGGUAGGCCACCGAGGUGGGCACAACCCACCAGGGCGCGCAUGGCCCCCCAGGCACGCCCAGGUGGGUUGUGCCCCCCUCGGGUCACCCCUUUGGUACUUCUUUGGCCCAUCCCGUGUCUUCUGGCCCAGAAAAAUUCUCCAAAAAGUUUCACUGCGUUUGGACUCCGUUUGGUAUUGAUUUUUUGCAAAGUAAAAAACAAGCAAAAAACAGCAACUGGCACUGGGCACUAUGUCAAUUGGUUAGUCCCACGAAAAUGAUAUAAAAUUGCUAUAAAAUGAUUGUAAAACAUCCCAGAAUGAUAAUAUAGCAGCAUGGAACAAUAAAAAAUUAUAGAUACAUUGGAGACGUAUCAAGGCCUCAGCGGCAGCAACUUGAGAGUCCUCACUGAAUUUCCUCACUGCCUUUGCAGCAACUUUUUGAAGCUUUGCUUGGCGCUUGGAGCAUUCUUUUGGAAAUUCCUCACCAUGCAUGAUGUUGCUGGGAUAAGCUCAUUGGCCAGCAGGCAAAGAUGGCCUUGGACAUGGAGGGUUCAAAGCGAAUUUCUUCAUGUACCUAGGAGUAACAUAGCAGUAUUCCCUCCAUUCCUUCGCCCAUCUCCUCUCAAUCCUCUGUAUGUGCACUUUGCGCCGAUUCUUGUUUUCCUUCCCAUAAGUUUCUUCAUCGAGUGUGCAAUAUUCAUCAUAGAUGCCCUCAGGAAUCUUAAAUGUUGUGUUUGUCUCAGGCCUCUUUCCUCCCUUCUGUGGUCUCUUCCCAUCUGCCAUUUUCCUGACUUGAGGACUUUGAACUUUGGAUGUUUCUGAGGAAGUAUGCAAAUUUUCUUCAAGGAACGCUGCACAUGAGUUAAGUGGAUGAGAACCUAGUGAUUCAGCAGCAGACAUUUUGUACCCAUGAAUAAAGUAUAGGUGCGAAGAAUUUGGAGAGGUCAUAUGCAUUCUCAGAAUUUUUUCAAAAAGUAUCAAGUUGAGGAAUUUGACCGUAGGUGUAUUGAGGAAUUUCACUAAGCGUUCUUGACUCAGGCUCCAGAGUUGUACAGAUUACAAAAUCCGCACAACUGAGGAAUCUUGAAAAAAAUCAUAGCUUAGAGAAACAAAACAAGGGAAAGAAGCAUUGAGGUGUUCUAAGGACUAGAUUUGAAGAAUAAACACCUUUUGACGAUUUUGUGGAAAUCAUAAGAAUCAAAGUAGGGCAGUAAAAUUAGAUUUUAAUUACCCUUGAUGAAGAACACGGCGAACAGGGAGUGGAGAUGGAGAAGUUCGUCAGCUCAGAUCUCCCACGCCCUAACUUGGUGGCGGGAGACAGCUAUGGCGACGACAGAGUGAAGAUUAUUGUGGCCGGCGCAAGUAUGACGGUGACGAGGUCCGAGGCAGUGAAGCUCUUCCUCACCGGUGACGAUGGAGUGUAGUGGCGGCGCUAGGUCAGAGAGCUCGAGCGGGGGAAGUGAGAUCGAGCGGAGUAAAUGAAGUAUGAGGAGGGUGAGGGGUAUUUAUAGCCGAAGUGAAAAACUGAUCGCCCGAAGAUUUUGGACGAACAUGCCCCUGACCCUUGCUAUCCUAACAACAUGUGUGACCCACGUACAGAGGUGGAGAUCGUGGGGGAUCGUGGGUGAGUAGUUUAAUCCAUCGUGGGAAGCGGAACGGUUUGAGCGGCAACAGCCAAAAAUUCAGAUGUGAAUUUUUAAAGUUUCGUUCGCAAAUUCUUCAGCUGCCAAGGACACAGUGAAGACUUUGAACGGGUUUCAAAUAGAACGCACAUGAAGAAUUUAUGAACAAACUGGGUUGAGUUUAGCAUAGAGGGGGGACGGUUCUGAUCACAUUCACUUAGACGAGAAUCAACUUGAAGAAUUAACAAUAAGUGAAUGUUGUAGAGGACAUGAAAACUCAAAUCAUUCUGUUAUCCUACUUGAACUAAUGGUUUUAGGCGGUUGUACUGAUGAUUUUCAUCUCGUCGAACCGAUCGUCUUUUCGUCGGAAUGGGGCGUGUAAUGUAUCAGUGGAAAGCUCUUGACAUCUACAUUAAAAAUAUAUAGGAAUGUUAUGCAAAAUCAUCAAGGUUUAAGAGCAGUUUUGAAAAAAAAAA
This 56665-nucleotide long non-coding RNA is filed under the name Triticum aestivum (bread wheat). RNAcentral's name for it is "long non-coding RNA (TAES_LNC001582)". The record is from RNAcentral. Lineage: Eukaryota; Viridiplantae; Streptophyta; Magnoliopsida; Poales; Poaceae.